GGAGAGGCUAACUACUCUAUGCUGGUUCCUACUUGUUAUACUAACUACUCAAAGUUCUAAAAAUUACAAAAGGUCCAUUUUUUUGGCUGGAACUAGAUAAACGAGUAUUUCACACUCUCUUGAUAUUAACAAAUAAAAAUUUGACUUCAAUAAUCUUUUUGACAAAUAAAAUUAGGUUUAAUUAUAUAGAUACACCUUUCAAGAUGAUCUCCAUAAUCAGUAAUCAAAUUCAAUCUAAAGGAAACGCGGGAAACUGGCCUUCCAUCCCCCUAUUUAGCUGUGGUGUCUUGGUUACAAUGUAUAAGGAGAAUUUUUUUCCCCCCCCCUUGAUGAUUUCAUCGUCAUCAACGAGCCCAUCGCCAUUUCUAUCGGCUUUCCCGAUGGCGUAUUCACUCUUCAUACCCUUAAACCAGCUCUCUCUUUUGGCGUCGCGAAAGGCAUCGUGGAGUUCCUUGCUGCUUAUCUUCCCAUCGUUGUUCUUGUCAUACUUCAUCAACCAUUCUUUGAACUGUUUCAAAUUCAUCCCUCCAUUUCCAGGAACUCUGACACCAUGAUUACUCACCAUCUCUUUGUGCGUCCUACCUUGUCAUGAGUCUUAUGACUUGUGACCUCCCUCAUAUUUAUAGUAUUAUCAUCCUACCUUGUUUUGCCUUCUUUUUGAGGGUUGGGGGUGGGGGGGGGGGGGGGGGGACAUUGAAGUACAACAAAUUCAUCUAGUAAUCACUAACAAGAGAAUUGUUGAACUAAAAUUCACACAUGAGGAAAUGAAAUCACUAACAUAAUAAUAUACUGGUGUUCCAUGUAGCUGAGGUUUUCGGGAAGAACAACAGCAACCCCCCAUUCCUGCAAUUAUUCGAUUUAACAACUCAAACCUUGCAAUGCUUUGUCCACAACUUUCUCCUCCCUGGCAUCAAGUAAGAUACUGCAAAAAUGAAAAGCAUAAAGAUUAUGCUUCAGAAGAAGCUGCUCUCUAUUUUCCAGAGUAAAAAAUAAAAAAAGAAAAGAAAAAGAAAAAAGGAAACUUGCAGGCACCAAGAUAGUAAGACAAAGGUAUCCAACUAGAAAACUGCAGAUUUUCUAAAAAAAGGAACCAUCUGGAUGAAAAUUUCACUCUAAACUCACCUCGAUGAAGUAAAAGAAUCAAAAUUAUAUUAACAUAUCAGGUUUUAAGGAAAAUCGAAAAUCAAGUUAAGAUGGUUUAAAUCACAACCUCAAAGCGAAAUUUGGAACCCUCUUCUCUUCUAUACCUCCAUCACUCUGUCUUAACCCAUUUUAUUUUCUUUUGAAGCAGUUUGUUUUCUAGAGCUUGGACUCUAAACUAGAUGUCCUUCUUUUUCAUUUCCCCUUAAUUCUAAUUCCUGAGAUGCUUAGACUCUUAGUCAAAAGAUAAGACAAAAGAAAGCACCCAAAGCAAUUAAAUAAGAAUAGUUUCUGCUAGGAAAAAACAAGAAGUACUUUCCAACUAAAGAAAACAUUUUCAUGGAACUAUCAUCUCUAUUCUUAUAAUCCUAUUUAAAUACAAAUAAUCUCUUCCAUGUAAAGAUUGAUUUGGGUUAAAUAUCCCAUCACCAAAGCAUUUAUUGCAAGUCAACAUGUCAGGGUUGAAAUCAACACGUUUAAGCAUAUGCUUUGGUACUCAUGAUUUAUUAAACAAUGUUUCACUAUCGAGUUUACCCAAAUUUAUACAUAUUUAUGUUUUUAUUUUAUAUCUGAUUUGAUUGAGAAGAACAAGUUAACAGAAGAAAAAGGGAAAAUUCAUUCAUGAUUAUAGUAAGUAGCUGCUAUUCAACUUAAAUCAAUUCAUUGCACAUCGAGUCACAAUUUAUGUACAUGAACCUAUUUCCCUUUAGCUUAAGUGACAAGAUAAUUUUUAUCCUUUGAUCUAGUCCACGAUACUCUCGUGUAAACAAUAUUACUACUGCGUUAAUUUGUUAACUUGGCUGCUAGCAGCUUCCUAUAAAACAUCCAUCAGUUUUCAGUUUUGUGCUAAGUUUCCUCUAAAUUCCCACUGAUAUCCUCGUUCUACCUGCUUUAUAUUCACAGCAGCACUAUUAUUUUACCAUAUUUAUUGUUUUUCUUCAAUUGUUCAUGUUCAAUUUUAACAAGGAUCGAAAGAGCGAGUGAAUUUUUCACCUUUGUCAACUAAAAGCGGCAAAACACACAAAAGCAUUUGAUGCUGCUAAUUCCUUUUAUUUGUGCAUGAAAAAGCAUUUGUAUGCAUUCUCUCAACCCAAUUCCCACAUCUUUCAAUGCAUAUCAUUCAAUUUAUCGUCGAGGUGUUAACUCUGAAAAGUGUGCAUAUCAACCUACAGUGCCGAUGUACAUACAUGAUGUAUACAUUUACAUAUAUGUUUAUAUCCUAUAUAUUAUGGUCAAGGUUUUCAUUUUCGAGAUUGGUUGACAUGUCAACAUCAACAUGAUUCUAGUGAUAUGAUGUCAUCAUUUUCUCUACUUUAAUCUUAAGAAUAAUAUAUUUACUUAUUAUAUAUGCGUAUAGAUAGUUUUUACACAUAUGGUUAUGGUUGAUUAAUGAACAUAAAGAGAGUUUAUUUCUCUCCCAGACUUGUAUCUCUCAACUACUUUCCAUUUUUAUUGUUGUAAGUGCAUAUAUACUAAUAUAUACAUUCGCCUGUAUUUAACGGCACUUGUUGAUUUCGAUAUGGGGUCAGCAAAACGACACAGUAACCAAAUUCUUAUAGGACCAUCCCUCAUGUGUUCAUAUCAUUCCCAACACUAAUAAUAAACAUACCAAGACUAAAAACUCCCAAAACGUUAUGACAUCAAAAACAGGCAACAAAUUUCAAAAUUCAUCCACAUAGGCAAAACAGUAGAUUUCCUCAAGAUUGUUAAGAACUAUCUAGUCUAACAGCUUAAGUGGUUAGAGAGAGGACACAUUCUAUUAUUUAAAUUUAGUCUUCAAUGUGCUUCCUCACGUGAGCUAUAUUCACUUUUUAUGAGUCAUUUGACUAGUCCACAAUUUUGAAUAUCAUUUAGUGCCGAGACUUGAACUGGGACUUAUAUAUGCUCUGAUAUUACGUUGAUAGGUAUGCAAAGAACUCAAAUUUUUUUUUUUUUUUUUAAGGGGCAAUCAUUCCAUUUCAACUAUAAGCACCAUAUCAAAGAGACCAUCAAGUGAAUGAGUGCCAACAAAAAAAAAUUCAGUUCCCACAUAAUUAAAAGAUAAACAAGAAACAUAAUAACUACCCAAAAUCUUGCAAAGCAUUGAGUUAAUACACGGUUGACAAAUAUGAAAUGAAUUCAACAAAACUUAAGAAAAUCUUAACGGCUUUCACAAAAUGCCCACAAAAACUAAAUUCAGUUUACAUCUCGAAAAUAACCCAUCAAAAGAAAACCGCAAAAUACCACGAAUAAACAUAAUUUCACCUGCGAAUUCUUGUUUGUUUAUCCGUCGGCUGGAUGAAAUAUGAUAAGGGUUUUGAGGGGCUGCAAUGGAGUAUGAAAAAAAGGAGGUUCCACUACAUUUCGUUAGUAUUUUUAUCUGAACUUUUUUUAAGAAAAGGAAAGCCUCCCUAAAAUGAAAGCCUAAGGUUGUGGACAGAAAAGCAGGUGUUUAAACUAGUCAAAAAAGGAAAAACGGAGAGCAAUUUGUGUCAGUUUUGAGGGCACGUAAAGCAUCUUUUUAGUCGUGGUUAAGAAUUUGUUUUUCUUUAUAAUUUUUCUUAAUAAAGACAAAAAAUAAAUUAUAGAUUUUCAGAUAAAACGAAAACUUGGCGUCGCCCGGACUCGAACCGGAGACCUUCAGUGUGUUAGACUGACGUGAUAACCAACUACACCACGACACCGGUUCUGUUAAGAAAGGUGACAUAUUUUUAUACUUAAAGAAGAAUUGAACACUACACCGACCCAUGAUGUCGGCCGGUUGGCUCCUACCCCGAUCUCGACCGGCCCCUGCAGCGGACAAGAAUAUUUUUUAAACAAAGAAUCACCAAUUACAAUAUUGAUUCUUUUUCCAUGUCACUACAAAUCAAUGAAAAUAAUAAUUUGAUUUUUGAUAUGUCAACGUCGCUAUCCAGUUUGUUUCUUUGGUUCUUUAUCGGAUAGCCUCCACGACACCCUACUCACCAAACCGGUCCAAUUCUCGCUGAACCAAUAAUUAGCAACUUUUAUUAGCUAAACUAUUACCAACUUUUAUUAGAUAUAUCAUAUAUGCCCUGUCCGAUCGGAUUAAAAUCAGAUUUUAGUAAAUUUUGAUAAAAGUUGUUAAAAUAUGUGAUUGAAAAAUUAUGAGUCCUAUAAAAUAUGUGAUUAAAAUUAAUUGUUGACUUUUACUUACAUUAAAAUCUGAAUUUUAAUUUGUACCAAACAUAUAUAUAACAAAUGGCACGAAAGAAAAUUCUUGCAUGUUUGGCUAAGCAUAAAAAUUUAUAUUACAAGAAAAUUUACUUAUAUAAGCAAAGAGUGCAUUUCUAUGAAGAAAUACCUUGUUUGUAGAGCAAUUCAAAAAAAUUUACAGCAUUUUUUAUUUUUAUUUUUUUCCAGUAUCGACAGUUUUCCUUCUUCUUCUUCUUCUAUUUUUUUUUUUUUUUUUUUUUUUUUUUGGCGGGGGGGGGGGGGGGGGAUCAUCAUAUGCACAAGAAAGUUCCUAAAUUAGUUUAAGAAACCUCCAAUUAUUCCUUAUCAUUAAAAUUUCUAUGUACCGUUUAAGUAUUCGUACAAAUCUACGUCCAUAUGGAUGUUGGUGGAAAGUUAUUUGAAUCAUGCCAUAUUCGAAGUGGUGAUUGUUGAGAAAAAUGUAGGGAAAUCUGAAAAUUUAAUGAAUUUCAAGGUACGAAAAACGUUAUCUUUUAAGAGAUGUUUCUUCCUUAUCCAACGAAGUCACAACUGGGGUAUGAUAGAAAAUUUCUCUCAGGAUACAAUUGAGGCGUUUGAUUCAAAUUGUGAUUAUUUGAUCAAACCAAAAAGGCACUUGAAAAAAAAAUACUAAUGAUGCCAAAAGAGAGAAGAAUAAUUUUUAUUUUUUUUAAUGAGUUUUGCAAACGAAAAUUCACUCAGAAUUUAUAGAAAUUGAGAUAACUGUUUGAAUAGGUGUAUCCCUUGAAAUGAAGAACACAUCUGUUGAAAAUAAUAGGUCGAUCCCCGUUGCGCAGCAGUAAAUACUAAUCCGGACGGCAAAUCAUUNNNNNNNNNNNNNNNNNNNNNNNNNNNNNNNNNNNNNNNNNNNNNNNNNNNNNNNNNNNNNNNNNNNNNNNNNNNNNNNNNNNNNNNNNNNNNNNNNNNNNNNNNNNNNNNNNNNNNNNNNNNNNNNNNNNNNNNNNNNNNNNNNNNNNNNNNNNNNNNNNNNNNNNNNNNNNNNNNNNNNNNNNNNNNNNNNNNNNNNNNNNNNNNNNNNNNNNNNNNNNNNNNNNNNNNNNNNNNNNNNNNNNNNNNNNNNNNNNNNNNNNNNNNNNNNNNNNNNNNNNNNNNNNNNNNNNNNNNNNNNNNNNNNNNNNNNNNNNNNNNNNNNNNNNNNNNNNNNNNNNNNNNNNNNNNNNNNNNNNNNNNNNNNNNNNNNNNNNNNNNNNNNNNNNNNNNNNNNNNNNNNNNNNNNNNNNNNNNNNNNNNNNNNNNNNNNNNNNNNNNNNNNNNNNNNNNNNNNNNNNNNNNNNNNNNNNNNNNNNNNNNNNNNNNNNNNNNNNNNNNNNNNNNNNNNNNNNNNNNNNNNNNNNNNNNNNNNNNNNNNNNNNNNNNNNNNNNNNNNNNNNNNNNNNNNNNNNNNNNNNNNNNNNNNNNNNNNNNNNNNNNNNNNNNNNNNNNNNNNNNNNNNNNNNNNNNNNNNNNNNNNNNNNNNNNNNNNNNNNNNNNNNNNNNNNNNNNNNNNNNNNNNNNNNNNNNNNNNNNNNNNNNNNNNNNNNNNNNNNNNNNNNNNNNNNNNNNNNNNNNNNNNNNNNNNNNNNNNNNNNNNNNNNNNNNNNNNNNNNNNNNNNNNNNNNNNNNNNNNNNNNNNNNNNNNNNNNNNNNNNNNNNNNNNNNNNNNNNNNNNNNNNNNNNNNNNNNNNNNNNNNNNNNNNNNNNNNNNNNNNNNNNNNNNNNNNNNNNNNNNNNNNNNNNNNNNNNNNNNNNNNNNNNNNNNNNNNNNNNNNNNNNNNNNNNNNNNNNNNNNNNNNNNNNNNNNNNNNNNNNNNNNNNNNNNNNNNNNNNNNNNNNNNNNNNNNNNNNNNNNNNNNNNNNNNNNNNNNNNNNNNNNNNNNNNNNNNNNNNNNNNNNNNNNNNNNNNNNNNNNNNNNNNNNNNNNNNNNNNNNNNNNNNNNNNNNNNNNNNNNNNNNNNNNNNNNNNNNNNNNNNNNNNNNNNNNNNNNNNNNNNNNNNNNNNNNNNNNNNNNNNNNNNNNNNNNNNNNNNNNNNNNNNNNNNNNNNNNNNNNNNNNNNNNNNNNNNNNNNNNNNNNNNNNNNNNNNNNNNNNNNNNNNNNNNNNNNNNNNNNNNNNNNNNNNNNNNNNNNNNNNNNNNNNNNNNNNNNNNNNNNNNNNNNNNNNNNNNNNNNNNNNNNNNNNNNNNNNNNNNNNNNNNNNNNNNNNNNNNNNNNNNNNNNNNNNNNNNNNNNNNNNNNNNNNNNNNNNNNNNNNNNNNNNNNNNNNNNNNNNNNNNNNNNNNNNNNNNNNNNNNNNNNNNNNNNNNNNNNNNNNNNNNNNNNNNNNNNNNNNNNNNNNNNNNNNNNNNNNNNNNNNNNNNNNNNNNNNNNNNNNNNNNNNNNNNNNNNNNNNNNNNNNNNNNNNNNNNNNNNNNNNNAAAAUAUCAAAAGAUGCCACAAAAUAGAGUUAACUAAAAUAGGAGAUUAUGUGAAAUUUGAAAAAUUCGCAUCCCAAAAUUGUGCUAUGCAACCACAUAUUACCAGUGCAUGCGGUCACGUAGGCAUGUCAUAUUCUUAGCUGGUUUCUCUGUAUGGGGGCAUGCUGUCUUAUGCCUUUUAUAACUAUGCAGUCACAUAAUUGUGAUUGAUAUUCCAUUCACCGUCACUUGAACAAGUAAUCCCAUGACAUAUUUGACUUUCUUGGCUCGUGACCUAGUCAAUGGCCUUUCGUCUAUAACCAACGGAUCCUUAUUCUUACUAGCUUUCGUAUCAUGGAUCUCAUCAGGGAAAUAAUGAUUUAAAUAUUUGUUUAAGAAAUAAAAAAUUUGCAAAUUUAAAUUUUAUGAUUGAACUUUGUAUUAAUUUAUUGGUUUAAGCUUAUAUUGAGAUAAAUAUGUUAUUAUUUUAACAUGUACGUAAUUAAAGAAAGUUUCAAUAUAAGUAUUGUAUUGAGAUUUCAAAUCAAUUUAUUUCUUUUAUUUUUCAUUUACUUGGAAGAUGUUAUAAUUAUGUUGCUAAAACUGUGUUUGUACCAAAUCAGAAUUCAAAAUGGGGUUUCGUUUGGUUUUGGUUUAAAAAAAUGAAAUGGUUUGGUAUGAUUUAAUUUUUUAUUUUCGAAUCUUUUAAAAAUGGUUUGAUUUUAAUUCAAAACCAUCUAAAUCAACCGUGAACACUUCCAAUGGCACGUUACAAAUUGAUAAAAUUUGAAACUAAAUGUUUACUAAAAUGAAGUUAAGUGAUAUAAUUAUACCGUUUAAAAUAUAGCUGAAUUUUUAAAGAUUUUUAGAGUUUUUUAAUUAAAUAACUUUUGUAGGGUUCAAUGAAUUUUUAGCUUUUUUAAAGUCAUUUACAGAUUUUAUAGAAUGCAUUUGAUUUUUACAAACUCUCAUUUUAGAAAAAAACAAAUCUUGUAUAAGACUUAUUGCUCAUCUUCUUGAACUGCUACUUGCAUGACAAAAUUAUCAACAACACAAUAACGAAAUUAUUUUUUUUCAUGUCAAUAAAAAUAUUUUUAAAAAAUAUAAAAAUAUAUAAGUUGCAAAAAAAAAAAUAUAAUAUUUCAAUACUCUCUGAUGAAAUGAAAAAAGAAAUCUCUAAUAUUCGAUAUUAUCAAUGUUCAAACUCGUACAAAGUUACUAAAUUAAACAUGCAAUCAACAUAUAAAGAUUUAAUUAUAAAUUAAUUUACUUUUUUAUAAAAUCUUCAUUAAAAACUCAUAUUCCUUUUUAGAAAAAUUGGAGGAAAACAUUGAAAAAGAAAAGAGUGAAAAAUCUUAUAAGAAUUUUAUUUAAAAAUCGACCUAUUUUAUAGACAAUGGAGAAAAUGAUGAAAAGAAGAAAGAUAUUAAAAGAAAAAGAUUAUAUAAAGAGGAUGAUAAUGAUAAUGAUAAUGAUAAUAGAUAUGAUUGAAUACACUUAGAGUGUGUUUGAUUGGCAUGGAAAAUAUCACCUAGAAAAGAAAAUAUUUUCCAUCUUUUGUGGAAAAUAAAAACCACCUCUAUCCAAGGAAAAUGUUUUCCUUAAAAACAAGGAAAAUUAGGCAUAUUUUCAAAAGUUGGAAAAUAUUUUCCAUGGAAAAAAAAUAGCAAUCAAACACUCUAAGUAGGAAUUUGGGUGAAAAUUUGAUAUUUUCCAUGGAAAAUAAAUGUAAUCAAACACACCCUUAGACUUUUUAAAUCUAAAAAAAAUUAUCAAGUCUAGAUUGAAUACACAAUGACCAUAUUUCAUACUCAACCAAACCCUUCAAAAUUUCGAAGAUGUAUGCUUAAAUACCUCAUACCUAGGGGAGAAAGAGCGAAGGAGAUAUGAACUGCACCUUCAAGAGUGCGUGAUGCCAAUGUCAUUGUUGCUGUCAUUGUUGGGAGAGGGUUUUAGCAUCUUGUUUUUGCAUUUCUCAGUGUAUAGAGAAUGAAAAAUAGCAAAUUUUCUAUAGAUAAUUAUAUUAACACCACAAUUAUUAUUUAUUGUAAUGCAUUUUAAUUGUACUUGAGGUUCUUAAUCUUUGUUCAUUAUAACACUUAUAUUCUUAACGAUUUUUCAUGUCAUUUUUAUUCUCAAACUUUCUAUUAGUUAACACGUUUUGUAUUCGAUAAUAGUUUUAUGUCCAAAAGUUUGUUGAAAUGAUGUAAAACAACUUAUCUUCCCAUCAUAUUUUAAUAAAUAAAUAAUAAGUAUGAAAAAUAUUUUUUUCCUUGUUUAAAGCAUAAAAAUGAAUUAUUUUGAUAUAAGUCAUCAUCGAAGACGAGAUGUACUAAUUAAUUUGGAGGUUGAAGAUUAGAAUUAGACGAAAAAAAGUUAAGAAAAUAAUAACAAAGAUUGAAGAGUUUAACUGCAAUUAAAAUGUGGAGUAACAAAUAAAAAUUGUGGUAUCAUUAUAACCGCUUUUUUUUUUUUUUUUUGCCUUUUUAGAACAUUUUUAUACUUUUUUAAUAUCCAAAUAUACCCUUACAAAAAAAAAUAAUAAUAAGAAACUCAAAAUUGGACAAAUGAGUGAUUGGAUACCAACAUCCUCAUUGUGUGAGACCACCUCAUAUAUACACCCUUAAGACUUUUGACUGUUUCUUGAAAUCUUAUUCAAGUGUUGCUAGUUUAGUAUGUUACUAAUGACUAUGGUUGAUUUGGUUUGAUGGAACAUUUCUACGAACAACUGAUUUAAAGUUGAACAAUUCAAGUAGGAAAUAAAAACUAUUUUGACCAAUAUUUUUAUUUUUAUUCACCGAUCAGGUAAUUGGUUUUUAACCUUUUAAGGUAUGGAACAUAAUUGUGAAUACAAUGAUAUCAUGUGGGCUUCAAGUAUGUUCCAUAAAUACUCGAUGGAUCGAAAAUACUUGGAUUAAUGUUGAGAAAUAAGUUUGGGGUUAUAGCAAAAUGUAAUGUUCCUCUAGUAAAGUGACUAUGUAUCCCUAGCAGAUUUAUGAUACUCAAUGGUGAAUCCAGGGUCCAAUGUCAAUUAGGGCAGACUGUUGAUCUUGGAGCGAAUUGUUAACCAUUGACAUGUGACCGUUGACAAUCAAAGAUCAUAAUAACGAGUUUAUUUAUUAAUAUUUAAUUAAAUAAUAUUAAAACUUCUUCGAUUUUCAUCUAAACGCACCAAAACAUAAAAAUUAUAUACAUGUGAAAAUAUAGUUCAAUACAACUUAAAGUACUAAAAAAAUACACGAUAUAACCUUAUUUUGUAAAUGUGAACUUAAACAACUGCAUUAUACGGAGUCUCAUAUUUUGAAAAGUUAAAAGUUACCUUUCCAUUACAAUCAAAGUUGUGUAUUUUGAAGAUAACUGAGACAACUUUACUAAAUUAAUAAAUUGAUCCAAUAUUUGUCGAGCUCUCACAUCAAAUUGUUGAAUUUCAAACAUCAAGAAAAUAGAAUUUAAUUGAUGAAAUGAAUUUUACACAAUUUGAACACAAACUUACACUUAUUUUAUUUGUAGGACGCCACUCUCACUAUCUUAAUUCGCUCUAAUAUUAUUAUGGCAGAUUCUCUUCACUAACAUUACAUCCUCAGCUUCUUUCUAUGAUCCACUCUCUAUCUCUCCUCACUUUUCUUCCUACUCUCUUCACACUCCCACAUACUUUUAUGCUCGCACAAAAUUCAAGCAGCAAGGAUAUAUAUAGAUUUAAAGGUCGGUGGCCAAUUCUUCUACCUAAUUCUAGUAUGUCGGUGAAGGCGACUGCAUUCUAGAGUAAUCAUUUGAUGGCAGUGGACUUUGAUUCCAACAAUUAAUGAUUACUAGAAUAUUCUCCAACUUUUUGGUAAAGGUGAAGCUUGUUGUUAAUCCCAAAAAAUUUCAUUCUAGAAUAUGAAUGAAGAAAUUUUAUAUUCAAGUUGGUGAUGUCUUCUUCAGUAUUGAGAAACAGCAUAUGCUAAAUUAUUUACAUUUAAGUAUUUGCAGGUCAAUAGGAGCACAAAUUGGAAUAAAGUCAAUACAUUAGAAGAAUAAAGCACAUAAACUUCGCAAGAAAUAAGGAAGAAUAGGCCAAAGAACUAUAAUCGAUGAGAAUGCAUAGAAUGAUGGGAAAAAAUAUAUAUCAUAUUUCAGGUGUAUUGUUUACACCAAUUCAAAAGAGAGGUUUGCCUUCGUUAGUAGGGUUUGCCCUUCGUUAAUUUGGAAAUAGUUGGAUUGGAAAUUUAGGAUAUGGAUUUGUAACUUGAUUUCAAUUCAACGGACUGAAUGCACUUAAUUGGAUUUGGGCCUAAUUUAAAAAAAACAAUAGGCUAGAAAAAAGGCCCAAGCUUAAAACAAAAGGUCAACCCACUAGGACUCUAACCUUUCUCCCUUCUCCCACUGACCAGCCGCCUACAAUUCAAUCUUCAAACUUCAAUCCUCCUCUCGAUGGUAAUUGCAACUUCGGUGGAUCCAACACGCGCAGUUACGAUCCCUCGUCGAGUGCUGGACCGUCCCUGAUGGUAUUGUAAGCUCUAAUAUUACUCGUUGAUCGCACGAUUUAUUUAUCGUAUGAAUUCUUGUGAAAUAGACCUCAAGAAGGAUCUAACGUGUGAUAUUCGUUAUUACUUGUGAUUCGGGUUAAACCCAUCAUGUACGAGUGAGAGAUGUUGAAAAAUAUGGGUUGUGGGUCACUUCCAUGAUUUUACAUCACUCCCAUUAUUUUUGUCUUGUACUUUUUUUUAUCUUUUGAGAGAGAGAAAAUAUGAUGAUAAAAUGUGUGAAAUUUGUAUGGAAAAAUGCCCAUAAAUUGAAAAGUGCCUAGAACCAUAUGUAUGAUAUUAAAACUAACAAAAAUUGACACUUAAAAUGUGGAUAAUAAUUUAAUUCCAUUGUGAUUGGGAAUGAGAUCAUUGGAAUGCUAGGAAAUGCAGAAUUUUUGCUGCGAAUUAUUACAGUACCAAUGGGAGGAGAGUCGAUAGCUUUUAAAAGUUAGGAUCAAUUGAAGAAAUUGCCGUUGGAACGUGUUUGACUGUCGUAGGAAGGGACGAUCCUGGAACAUUUUGGCUCUACUGUCGAAGUUAUGAGAUGAUGAUGGAAGGCAGUAUUACUAGUGGGCUAAAACUAGUUAUUAGGGAUAAAGUCUUGAUGUUAAGGCCCACGGGUUUGGGCCAUAUUAUGAAGUUGGCCCAACAUGUGGAUCUCAGGAAGAAACUGAUGAAGCAGACCCAAAUAAGUUAUAGACCAAACAAAAAUAAAAAUAAUUUUCUUAGUCCAAACUUUUUUAAUGGCCCAUCCUUGUACCCAUAUCUAUCCACAUCUAAUACUUACUCAAAUAUCUUAAUCCACUCAAUACAAACCAUCCACUCAAAAACCAAUGCUGUUACCGUUCUUCGACCAAUGAUAGUGAUGAGGAGAAUUCCUUUUGUAGGUCCAACUAUUUAUGGAAUUUGUAUGGAUAACAUUUUAAUUGUAGUUGGUCGACUGACUACACGGAUUAAUAGCUACAACAAGCUUACUUCAAAAAUGGUUCAGCUAUAUGAAAUUCAGAAUUUUGAAGUUGAACCACACUUUCACCUUGAGGAUAAGAUGAAUUUCGGGGCAGUUGGUAAUGAUAGAUAUACAAUAAGGUUGAAAUGAUACAACCAAUAUUGAAGCAACCAAGUCAUCAACUAUUCUAAAGCGUUCUACAUAAUUAGAUGGAGGAACGGUAAAAGGGCAAUAGAAAUAAAUAAGAAGCCUGGAUUUGGGAGAUCCAUUCAUUUAGUCAGUUGUUAAGAAAAAAGUGCGUGAUCGAGCUACUCGAAUAGCUUGAGAUUUGUCAUUACUUGCUGUGAAAUAUCAAUACAAUAUUGAGGUUACAUUUGUUCUUGCUUUACAGAUAAUUGCGUUAAUCUAUCCCGACUACAUCUCAUUUUCACAAUUUUCAUACUGCAUUAAGACCUCAAAUCCUAUUGUCACGACUCCUGAUUCAUAGUAGGAGGCCACAAUUUCAGUACCAGAGUCUACAGUAACCCCAGGUUCUUCCAGCAGUGGCAACCAUCAUCAACAAGAGAUCAGAACCUCUUCAGCAGUACAACAGCAACUCAGGGUGCUAUCAAGACCCCAUUAUAUAGUUGGUCAAGGGAUGAAAUCUGUUGGAUAAACUACACUCGCGGUUCCCAAUUAUUCACACCUCUACUCUUAAAUGAUCUUUUUCUUGGCAUUAAGCUCAUCAAACUUUCAUUAACACGCAAAUGGUUACUGCCUAAAAUGACUUUGUAAUUGAAAGCUAGCUUCCACAAAAUUCUAUAUUAUAUUCCAAUACAGCAUGCUGAUUCUUGAAUUGUCAUGGUCUGGUAUCUUUGCUGUAGUGGUUAUUGAAAGAAGAUAUAUGCAUAGAUGGGUUGGUGGGGAUGCAGGUGGGGGGUCGCAUUGGUCAGCAAUGCAAGAUAAAGCUUCACAGUUGUAGGUUGGAAUGUGCUGCAGGUAGGGGUGGCAAUCGACUAAAUUGAACCGAUCGGCUCGGUCGCUCGGCUCGUAAAAAGGCGGUUCGCGGGCGGCUCUGGCUCGUAUGUGGAUGAUAUCUAUGAGUUUAUACCUGUUAGUUGGGUUUCUUGAAAAUGGUAUUUCAAUUAUUCCAUUGAAUACAAAGUCAGAGAUUACAAUUUAUAGCGUAAAAAACAAGUAAUAAAGGAAACUAAUUAUACACAAAAUCAGCCUACUAAUUAUCCUUGACUUAAGGGAUUCUUACAACUAUACAAUCACUAAUUUUAAGCAAAGAAUUUCAACACUCCCCCUCAAAUUGGUGCAUAGAUGUCACACAUGCCCAACUUGUCUAAGAACUUUGAGAACACUCGAUUGAGGUUGCUUUGGUAAGAAUGUCAGCCAAUUGGUCUUCAGAUCGAACCUUAGGCAAUUCAACAAUUUUUUCAUCCAACUUUUCCUUAAUGAAGAAUCGGUCCACCUCGACGUGCUUCGUGCGAUCAUGUUGAACUGGGUCAUGAGCAAUAUCACACGCUGCUUUAUUGUCACAAUAAAUUCGAACCGGUUGUCUAGAUUGCUAACCCAAAUCUUGCAAGAGAAGUUUUAACCACAAAGCAUCACAGAGUCCAAGAGCUAUACCUCUGAAUUCAGCUUCUGCACUUGAACGAGCAACAACAUUCUGUUUCUUGCUUCUCCAUGUAACUAGGUUACCACCUACGAAAGUAAAGUAACCACAAGUAGAUUGCCUAUCAUACGGCAAGUAGAUUGCCUAUCAUCUAUGGCCCCAGCCUAAUCAGCAUCAGUUUAUACAGCUAUGCUUUGAAAUUCUCCAUUUUUAGUAGACAAAAUUCCUUUUCCAGGACUAGCCUUCAGGUACCUUAAAAUUCGAAUCACUGCCAUAUGUUGUUCUCUAGGAUUGUGCAUAAAUUGACUAACAAUACUCAAUGCGUAGGCCAAAUCUGGUCUUGUGUGUGCUAGGUACAUCAAUCUUCCUACAAGUCUUUGGUAUCUUCCUUUAUUAGCCGGUAUUUGGUUGGACUUUGCACACAACUUCAAUCCUUCUUCUACUGGUGUAUCUACUGGUUGACAUGUUGACAUACCAGUUUCUUGCAAUAGAUCUAAAGCAUAUUUUCUUUGAGAUAAAAAAAUUCCUUGAUUAGAACGACUUAGGGUCCACAUAUUUCUUGCCGGAUUGGAUGGUAAUUUUGAACAAGUUCAUGGAGAGAUUCUACGCAAAGAACAAGUUCUAGAUUUAGAAGAAUGUUACUCUUUGGUUCGGAAAGAAGCUGUCCGUCAGGCACCUUUAGGAGAUUCCAAAAAUUCAGAAGCUUCCGCCAUGAUGAUUCGAAAUCGUUCUACUCAAAAUUGGCAAGAUAAAACAGCGCCCAACCAUCCUAAGACCACGACUAGGGUUGACAAGACCACCUACAAAUGUUCUCACUGCAAUCAGACAGGACAUACAAAAAGCCGUUGUUUUAAACUUGUAGGAUAUCUUAAAUGGUGGGAUCAUAGUCGUGCUCCACGAAAGAAAAAUUCUAAGAAUACCUCCACUGCAGCAGUUGUAGAAGCAAAGCCAGAAGAUGAUGUCGUUGAAAAGGCCUCGGCAUUGGUCGCAACUGCAAAUAAUGGUGGUAAGGUUUUGAGUAUUUUUACACCUGUUUCUAAUAGUGCAUGGAUAAUUGAUUCUAGUGCUACAAAUCAUAUGAUUUUUUAUUCUAGACAGGUCUCCACCUUAAAUCCGUCGUUACAAAAAUUUAUAUCAACUGCUAAUGGUACUUAAACCCCUGUUAUUGGGGAAGGAUCUUUGACUCUCACUGAUACUCUGAGUUUAGAUUCUGUUCUAGUUUUUCCAUCUCUAGAUUAUAAUCUUUUAUCAAUUUCUCAAAUAACCACUGCUUUAUCGUGUGUCAUAAUUUUUGGGCCUAACUUUUGUGUUUUUAAGGACAUCUAAACAAGGCAAACGGUUGGUUAUGGUAUUAAAAGGGGAAAGUUAUAUUACUUGGACUUGGUGCCUUCGACCUCAAAUGGGUUACGUCAAGUUUUGACAGUGAAUUGCUCUGAGGGGGAGAAGAAGAAAUCUGAGAUUUGGUUAUGGCAUCGACGCAUGAGGCAUGCUUCAUUUGGUUAUCUAAAAAAAUUGUUUCCUAGUUUAUUUACAAAAUUUGAUGUUUCUAGUUUUCGAUUUGAUGUUUGUGAACUGGCAAAGAGCCAUCGAACUUCAUUUCCGUUAAGUUUGAAUAAAAGUACACGUCCUUUUAUGGUCAUACAUUCUGAUGUCUGGGGUCCAUCUAAAGUGGCCACGUUAGGAGGGUCACGUUGGUUUGUUACUUUCAUUGAUGAUUGUACCAGGAUGACCUGGUUGUACUUGAUGACGUCCAAAGGAGAAGUAAACUCAUUAUUUCAAAAGUUUCAUAAAGUGGUUAAAAUGCAGUAAAAUGCACAAGUUCAAGUUUUCCGUAGUGACAAUGGUGGAGAAUACCAGGUCUUACAACUUCAACAGUACUUGGAAACACACGAAAUUAUUCAUCAAACUACAUGUUCCAAUACACCACAACAAAAUGGGGCUGCGGAAUGAAAAAAUCGACAUUUGUUGGAAGUUGUUCGUGCUUCACUGAUAGAAGCCCAUAUGUCAUUAUCCUAUUGGGGAGAAGCACUUAGCUCUGCAGCAUAUUUAAUUAAGCGAGUACCCUCCAACUCCGUUAACUUUCAAACACCUCUCCAAGCUCUUUGUGUUGCAGUUGAUGCCCCAAUAGUCCCAAACUUACCACCUCAUAUAUUUGGUUGUGUAGCAUUUGUACAUCUCUAUAAACAUCAAUGGAAUAAGUUGACUUCUCAAGCAUUGCGAUGUGUUUUUGUAGGGUAUGCUACCAAUAAAAAGGGAUAUCGAUGUUUUCACCCUCCAACUCGACGAAUGUUUAUCACAAUGGACGUUAUUUUUCAUAAAGAGUCAAUGUAUUUCUCCUUCGAUCCUGAACUUCAGGGGGAGUCUCAUAGGGAAAUUGAGACUCUAAAUGAUACUUUUGUGGAAUACAAUCAAGAAGUUGAUGAUGAAAUUCAGACUCUAAAUGAUACUUUUGUGGAAUACAAUCAAGAAGUCGGUGACUUGGACUCAAGUGGUAUAAACUUAGAUCAGUGUGGUGAUGAAUGUCCAGAAGUUGAAGACGUAACCCCAAUUUCAUCGAAAUUCGAAACUGAUAUACCCAAUCCAUCGCCUGCUGAGGAUGUUCCUAAGUCAAUGGUCUAGCCACUUAGAAAACAUUUACCUGAACGUCAAACCAGAGGUAUUCCUAAACCCACAUAUGAACCCGAACUUUCUAGUAAAAUUAAGUAUCCAAUGAGUCAUUAUGUGUCUCACCAUAGAUUGUCUGAAUCAACUAAGUCAUUUGUAAAUCAAUUAUCUACUGUAUCUAUUUCUAACAGUGUGCAGGAAGCCUUAGCCGAUCCUAGGUGGAAAGCAGCUAUGAAUGAGGAAAUGAAAUCUUUACAAAAGAAUGAAACUUGGGAACUCAUUGAUCCAGUACCAGGAAAUAAAACAGUUGGAUGUCGAUGGAUUUACACUGUAAAGUACAAUGUUGAUGGUACAGUUGAACGCUAUAAAGCAAGAUUGGUGGCAAAAGGUUAUACUCAAACCUAUGGGAUUGAUUAUACUGAGACAUUUGCACCGGUAGCCAAAAUUAACACAAUUCGAGUCUUGUUAUCUUUAGCUGCGAACUUGGAUUGGCCAUUACAACAAUACGACGUAAAAAAAUGCAUUCUUGCAUGGUGAAUUGUCUGAAGAAGUCUACAUGGAUCUUCUACCUGGGUAUAUGAUACCAGAAAGGUCAAGUCAAAAAGUAUGCAAGUUAAAAAAAUCAUUGUAUGGGCUGAAACAAUCUCCAAGAGCAUGGUUUGGAAGGUUCACUAAGUCUAUGAGAGCCUUUGGCUAUCAUCAGAGCAACUUAGACCAUACUUUAUUCUUAAAGGAACGACGGGAUAAGAUUACUGCACUUAUUUUAUAUGUGGAUGACAUGGUGGUUACAGGAAAUGAUUCUGAAGAGAGGAAAGCUCUACUAAACUACUUAUCUAGAGAUUUCGAAAUGAAAGAUCUAAGUCAAUUGAAAUAUUUUCUUGGCAUAGAAGUUUCUCUCUUUCAGCAAUAUGCAUCUCCAUCAGUUGGGACCAAACAUCAUAAUUUGAUUCCGUUAAAAUGAUGCCUGCGUUAAAAACACCUUCAGGUUGAACAAUAACAGGAACCGAUUUAGACCCAGAUGAUUCAGUAAUUUUUUCACUCAUCUUGAAUGAUAAUAGGGAUAAUAACGAAUUUGAUUUAAAAAAAAAAAAAGGUUCAAGAGACACAAUGGUUAUUUGUGCAAUAAAGGUAUGUGGUGUAAUAUAAAAGUGGAUAAAUAUGAGAAAUGGUGUUUCGGUGUGUUGUCUUCUAUAAGGAUAGUAGCUGAUUCAAAUCCAAAAUAAAUGGAUAAAGAAGUAACAUAUAGGUUGGUAUGGGAACCAAAUUCUUCACGCCAACACAGUGGAUUUGCAGAAAUUUUGAUGUCUUGGGAAUGUCAAAAUUUGAUAUGGUGACGGCAAAUUCGUAACAAUCUCGUUCAGGUUUCAAUUUUGAAAAAAAUUGAGGGCAAUUUUUUUUUCUGGAUUUUUUCAAUGUUUCAGGGAUUCAAGCUUUUGAAUUUCUUUUCAAGAUUCAAUGAGGAGUGGCUCUGAUACCAUUUUGAAAAUAGUAUUUCAAUUAUUCCAUUGAAUACAAAGUCAGAGAUUACAAUUUAUAGCGUUAAAAACAAGCAAUAAAGGAAACUAAUUAUACACAAAAUCAGCCUACUAAUUAUCCUUGACUAAAGGGAUUCUUACAACUAUACAAUCACUAAUUUUAAGCAAAGAAUCUCAACAGUAACGAUACUUCCACAACAGAGAAAUUUAGGAGAGGCGACGUGUGUAAAUAAAGGGAAACUGGAAUAUUCAAAGCAAGAAUACAUACAGGAAAAUGCUUUAUAAUUCUCACCGGUUCAUAUAUAUGUCACAAAAAUAAAAAAUUGAGAAGUUUUACAAGAUCAUAAGCAGAAAAUUAAAGAUUCAGUGUAAUCAAAGUUUGGUAUCACUGCAGGAAAUAUAUAUUUUGGCAUAAGAAAAAACAAAUUUUCAAUUUUCCUUCUAAUAUACCAAACAUUCAAUUAACUCAAAGUAUAACAACGAUAAAUACUUCAUACUCAAAUAAAUCCAUUCAAUUCAGUUUUUUUUUAAUAAAAAAAUCACAUUUAGUGCUGAACCAAUUUCCCUCCUCCCAAAACUGUCAAACUCGGGUGCUCAACACGACGCAGAAAGCAUGGAAAAUGGAAUCAUAUACGCUAUUCAAUUUUAUUUUAUGAUAAUUAAAUGCAGAAAUGCCAUCUUCGUAGCACCAAUUUAAAAAAUUAUAUUUUUGUGGAAUGCUAUUUAGCACUGAAAAUGUUACGUAGGAUGAUGCUCCAACACCACUUGUAAUAUAUAUCAUUAUUCUAUAUUGUUAUUUUUCACAUUUUAAAAGGAGGUUAUUAUUAUAAUAUUCACGCAUGAGUAAAUUUUACUACUCCCUCGUCACAUUUAUUGAUAGUUUAUAAUAUUUACUAAUAUAUCCCUUCUUUAAAUAAUAGUUCAAAUAAGAGUAGUUCAUAUUUAUUGAUAAUAAGACACAUUAAAUAGGGACAUAUUUGAAAAUCAAGAAAUUAAUUAUAAUCUCGACAAGAAAAGUAGCCUAUAAUUCAGGACUAAUGAAAAAGAAAAGCAAAACGAUAUUUAUAAAAUGAAUAUAGUAUUUUAAAGAAUAAAAAAUAUGCAGGAAUUGAAAUUACGUCGCAUUCAGCGUAGAUAGGUUUGAUGCUUGUAUUGUAUGAUGGUUAAAUUUCGUCCAGUCACUGAAUUUUCAUAGAAAUCUUAACUGGGUAACUAAACUUGUUGUAUGGUUAUAAUCUCUUUAACUGAAUUACUUGUAGUAUGACUAUAAAUUAAGAACUUUCAUCAAUUUGAGGAUGUCAUGUGAUGGAUUCAUGAAAUUUGAAACUAAAAUAAAGUGAUGGUUUAUUCAAUUCAAAAUUUACGGUGCAUUUGGUUUGUUGUUUUCAAUUUUGCAAAACACUAAAAAUGAGUUUGUUUCAAUAUUUUUAGAAAUAAAUUUUCAAAAUCAAAGAUAAAUUUAUAACAUAAAACUCAAAAUGUAUUUUUGAAUUUUUUAGUAUUUUUUGUGAAAAUUCUGAAAACACUCAAACUAUGAAAAAAAAAAGAGUUUAAAUAAUAUUUUAUUUAAAUAAAAUUUUGACAAUUGAAAAUUAAAUUAUAAAACUUCUAAAAAAAUUAAAAUUCUGAAAAGUUAAUCAAUAAAAAAUUAAAUUAGUUCAAGCUCUUAAUGAUUAAUUACAUAAAAUUCUAAAAAUAUAUUCAUGUGAACACAGAUAAAAAUGUCUUUAGCCCACUUCAUUAAUUUUUAUUUUUAUUUCAUAGAGAGAAAAAAUAAUGUAAGAUUCACCAACUUUGAAAUGUAAUGUUACACACUAAUAUAUUAACAUAAAACUUGUAGUAUGGUUAUAAUCUCGGCAAGAAAAGUAACCUAUAAUUGAGAACUGAUGAAAAAGAAAAGUGUUGACAUAUAAAAAUUCAGCCCAAAUCAAACAGUCCAAGGAAUGAAGCCCAAUUGGAGGAUCCCCAAAUCAGAUAGCCCAAAGAACGAAACCCAAUCAAACAAUUCAAGAUGAAGACCCAAAUAGGGAGGCCCAAGAACGCGGUAACGCCAUCGCCCAAGUUUGCAAGUCGCCCAGAAUCUGAGCGAAUGGAGUGCCAUGCAGUCGCCCAGAGCUGUUACUCUAUUCUCGCACAAACCUUCAAAUCGCCCAAGGUCUUAACAAACAUAAAGCGUUGUGGUUAUCAAGAAGUGCAGUUAUCAAAGCAAUUAUUAAAGCAGCCCUAUCACGUUCCACGAUUCAAGAAAUUCAAUCGAAAACGGUUGAACGGCGAAGAGUAAUGACAGCAGUUAAAAAAGGCAGUUUUCAUGAUAAGCUGGUCAUUACGAGGAAAGUGGGCAGUUGUAGAACGAUCAAGCAGUUUUUAGGCGGUUGAUCACAAAAAAGAUCAUCCAUGAAGUAUAAAAGGGAGAAAAGACAUAGAGCAAAAGAUCGAAUCAAAAACUCUCGAACAGAGAACAUGUAAUUUUAAUUUCUUUAGUUUAGACUUAAACAAUUUUUUCAGUAACUCGUGUGCUUGCGCCCCUUGGAGGCAUUUUGUUUUUGAUUUUCAAUUAUAAAGUCAUCGCUAAUAAAAGAACACCCCUUUUUGGGACUUUGUCUCAAGAGGUUUGUCCCUUACACAAUCGUCUGAUCCCUUUUAAUUGUUAGCGACUAACCCGCGCGAAACAAUUUGACACGCCCAGUGGGACCGUGGUGUUUGGUGUUGAACGUACAAAAGGUGAAACAAUAUGCCUCAGAGAUCCGAUAAGGAAGCAGCAAGUCAGGGAGGAAUCCAGUCCGUGAUCGAGCGAUAUGAGGAGCAGCAUGCCUCUCCACGAACAGAUGGACAGAAUCAGAGUAGUAACAGUCAUUACGAACCAAUAACGGAGUUGAGUCCUCGAACCAUGCGUGCAUUACUUGGAGAACUCACACAAGACGUUGUUGAACAGGUAAAUCUUUGAAGUAUUCAUAAUAUGGAAAGAUUUACUCAAAAUGGGAAUGCACACUAUGACAACAUGGCCAAACAACUAAACACUUUGAACGAAACAAUGAAUAAGUUAGUAGGCCAAAUAUGUCAACCGGUUAUACCUUUUGCAAAUCACUUUCAAACUAGGACAAUUGUGGGACAUAAUCCCUCAGUCCUAAAUCCGAAUCAAGGGAUAGAACUAUUUUCUGGUCCCUCUACUUCAAACUAAGGGGUACUGCAGUGCCAAAUCAGAACAAUGGUAGUGGUACGCCUAACUUGGGGGUAAUCCAAACAUAAGAGAUAAUGUCCUAAACAAUGGACAGAAUAACCCACGUGUUAAUGAGGAAAUAGAUGUUCAGGCUAAUGGUAAUGACCCUAAUCAUGGUAACUUUGUUGUCAAUCAAAGACCAAACAUCAGGCCUCAUGCAAAUCAACUGGUUAGCCAGCCUGUAGGAAUUCCAUAUGAUCCCAACGUCAUGUUGAAGAAUCAGAUUAUGAAAAUCGUACAGGAUCAGAUGGCUUUUGGGGUGCGUCCCGUCAUUAGGCCGACGUACACAAAGCCAUAUCCUGAUUGGGUAGACCAAGCAUAUCCAUGGCCUAGAGGGUACAAAGUGCCAGAAUUCUCACUGUUUACUGAUUUAGGAGAGGUGUCUACUUUAGAACACAUAGGGCGAUUCACAUUGCAAAGUGGUGAUGUAACCGAUUACCAUAAAAUGAGGCUUUUCCCUAGUUCGUUAAUAGGAGUAGCUUUCUCCUGGUUCAUCAACUUGCCAGCGAACUUUGUUCAAACAUGGCAACAAUUGGAACAGUUAUUUCACGCUCAAUUUUAUAAAACUGAGUCUGAAGUCACUUUGGCUAAUUUGACGAAUCUACGUCAAAUACCAAACGAAUGGGCAGAAAGUUUUCUCCAAAGGUUCAAGACAGCAAGAAGCAAGUAUUUUGUACCUCUGCCCGAAAAAGAAUUUGUCAAAAUCGCUCAGGGCUGCUUGAGCUUUGAUUUAAAAAAGAAAUUCCAGGACAAGGAAUUUUCUGUCCUUUUCCAAUUGAGUGCGAAUGUGAUUAGGUAUGAAGGACUGAUAAGAGAAGAAGAACAAAUGAAAAAUUCUAGUAAAGAGACUUAUUACAAAGACCCAAAUUUUGAUGUUCAUACCAUCAGUGACGAGUCAUACGACCAGGCCGAAAUGUGUUUGGUCGAAUUGGUCAAAGGAGAUACGUAUACGUGUCCCAUAAUGGCCAAGCCUAGACCAUCGGGCAAAGAUGAGACCAUAAAAGAUAGAAACAUAAAGGCUAGAACGUUCUUGUUCGAUGUAACCAAAACUGACCUUAUAUUUGAUAAAUUAUGUAGGGAUAAGCAGAUAAAGUUGAGCGAUAAGCACAAAUUGCCAAACCCUGAACAAAUUAAGGGUAAAAAAUAUUGUAAGUGGCAUAAUGCAUGGUCACAUUUGACUAACAAUUGCUUGGUUUUUCGCCAUGUAUUGUAGGAUGCCAUUGAAUCAAGACGAAUUACGUUCGACGAUAAGAAGAAGAUGACAGUGGAUGAAAAUCCUUUUCCACAGCCACUUGGAGUGAACAUGGUGACAUCUAGAUUCAAAAACAAGUUGCCAAAAUUCAAGUUGGUUGUAAAUGAUGGAGAAGAGGAUCCUAGACCACAUCCCAGUGUCUUUGAACGAAUCAAGGGGAAAGAACCAAAAAAGGACGAAAACGUCCUGUGUGCAAGAUGUAAAAGAGAAAUGAAUGGCAAUACGGAGAAACCAGGGAUAUGGCAGCAUCCCCAUCGCCCUACCUUCUUCCCAAACACUCAGCCUGGUAGAGGGCGAGGUACAUCAUUCUAUAGAGGAUCGCCUUUUGACAGGCAGUUCAGGCCAGCAGAUAAUGGAAGAACAUUCAGGCCGCAACCUCGUCGGCCAAAUGUAUGGCAUUCAUUUCAGUAUAAUGCAGGAAGGGCAAUACCCUUCGAUGAGAUGACUAGAACCCAACAAAGGCGUUUCCAACGAAACUAUGGACGGAUGAUGAGGUAGCAACAGGGAGUGCCACAUCCUAAAGCGUCUAAACUACUCAAGGUAGCCAAUCAAAAUGUCCUCAAAGAUAGUGAAGAGACCGGUACAGAUGAGUCAAUGAAGGAACUGCCAAAAACUUCUUCUGGGAGAUCAAAGUUUGAGCGAGACAGAAGGGAUGGAGAAGAUCCAGAUCAGCCCCUUACUAUCGAAUUCGGUACGCUGCCUCCUGUCGUGGCCAAUAAUUACUUACUGACCAAUGAAUUCAAGAAUAAAGAAAAAGAAGAAGAGAGGGAGGACAACGAAGGAGAAGCUUGCGUGCUGGAAUGUGAAGAAGGCCAGACUUCUAGAGAGGCCUACAAGAUGAAGAGGACGACGGGAUGACAGACAUUGAAGAAGAAAUCGACCUAGAAGCAGAAGGAAGAAAGAGAGGAGUAUCGCACAAUACUCUGUUGAAGCAACUACAUCGAGAGAGAGUUCGCGAAGUAGACUUGUUGGGAGAACGAUCUGGGCGUUCUUUCGAUUUCUACGUACUGUACGGGACACCCAAAAGGAAGAAGAGAGUGCCUCGCUCUGAAAAGUAUGGGUCACCUCCAAAAAUAAUGCCCCCUCCCACAGGUUGGGUAACUGAUGAGGAAGCAUUAGAAAAAAGUAAGAAGGAAGUUCAAGAGACAGAGGAUCAGCGCGAUGUACUGCACGUCGACUUGUCACAGGGGAUAAUUCGACAGAAAACAAGCAGGAAGUAGAAAUAGAGGCUGCUGAAAAUGUUAUUUUUAAACGGCCAGCCAUGAAAUUGACUAAACACUUGAGGUCAUUGUACGUUAAAGCUCUAGUUAACGGUAUCCCAGUGGCAAAAGUGCUUGUCGACAAUGGAGCAACUAUAAACACCAUUCCAUCUAGAAUGAUGAGGAAGUUCGCAAAGACAGAGGGUGACAUGAUUCCUACAGAAGUCAUCCUCACGAGUUUCAAUGGAGGAGCAACUUCAGCUAAGGGAGUUAUGCCAUUGGACAUAACUAUAGGGACGACUACUAGGACCACUGUCUUCUUUGUAAUAGAUGGUCCUACUAGUUACAAUGUGCUACUAGGAAGAGAUUGGAUACACGAAAGUCGCUGUAUACCCUCAUCGCUCCAUCAAUUCCUGAUCUUUUGGAAUAAUAAAGGCAAAGUAGAGGUGGUACAGGCCGAUCAUAGGCCUUUUGUUGCAGAAGCAAACUCGGUGAAAAAGUUCAUGUACGAAGGAAACUAUGGACUUGUCAGGGUAGUACAAGAUGGGGAAAAAACUCAAGUUGUCGCGCAAAGCGAAGAACCAUUCUUAGUGGACGUACUCACUGAAAUGUUCAAAUAGAUGAGGCCAAAUAUAGUGGCCCUAGAAGAGCCAGUAAUUGGCAAAAGAAUAAUCAAGGAGUCUUGAAUGGAUUCUAAAUUACAAAAGCAAAUGGCCGACAUUCAGGCCUUCAAAGCCAGACUGAUGGCUUUCAAUAAGGAAUGCAAUAACAAGGCGAAAGAAGAGACGGCUAAAGCGUUGAAGGACAAAUUGGCAGUAUUCGAGUUAGAACAAAGCAUUGGGCGAGAAGUCAACAAGGCGGACUGUUUAGAAGAAGAAGUAUUUACAAGGGAACUAGACGACGAAGUAAUGUGGAUCGUCAAACCUGGAUAUGCUCAAGCACAAGACCCUCUGAUCAAAGUAAACAUUGGCAAUGAAGGAGAAGAUCGUCCAACAUUCAUCAGCCAGAUGCUAGAUCAAGAGGUUAGUAAUAAAUUAAUCGCUUUGCUAAAGGAAUAUAAAGAUUGUUUUGCUUGGGAAUAUGAACAAAUGCCUGGUUUAGAUAGAGACUUGGUGGAACAUAGGUUAUCAACUAAGCCUAAUUUUAAACCUCAUAGGCAGCCUCCUAGACGUUUUGCUCCUAAUGUACUCCCUGAAAUCAAGAAAGAGAUAGAGCGAUUAUUGAAAGCAUGUUUUAUUAGAACAGCCAGAUAUGUUGAAUGGUUGUCCAAUAUCUUGCCAGUACUAAAAAAGAAUGGUAAACUAAGAGUGUGUAUAGACUUUAGGAAUUUAAACAUAGCUACACUCAAAGAUAAGUAUCCAAUGCCCAAGGUGGAUUCUUUAGUAGACUCGAUUGCCGGACAUGUCAUGUAUUCUUUCAUGGAUGGGUAUUCAGGAUACAAUCAAAUUUAUAUAGCUGAAGAAGACAUACACAAAACUGCAUUUAGAUGCCCUGGGUCUCUAGGAUGUUUUGAAUGGAUGGUUAUACCUUUCGGCCUAAAAAAUGCAGGGGCAACUUAUCAAAGGGCAAUGAAUUUAAUCCUUCAUAAUAUGAUAGACAAUUUUGUUGAAGUGUAUGUAGAUGACAUAGUAGUCAAGUCCAUUAAAGAAGAGGACCAUUUCGAAUAGUUAAGAUGUUCGUUUGAGCGAAUGAAGCAAUAUAAGCUAAAGUUGAAUCCCUUGAAGUGUGCAUUUAGUGUUAAUGUAGGGAAUUUUCUUGGUUUCUUAGUACACAAGAGAGGGAUUGAACUUGAUAAAAAUAAAGCAAAGGCCAUUUUAGAGGCCAAACCACCUAGCAACAAAAAAGAAUUGCAAAGGUUUCUAAGCCAAGUAAACUUUUUAAGACACUUUAUUUCUAGCUGUGCAGGGCGAACUAAAGUCUUUUCGUCGCUUUUAAAGCUGAAAAAUCAGGACGAAUUCAUCUGGAAAGAAGAACAUCGAAAGGCUUUUGAAAGUUUGAAGACAUAUUUAACAAGUCCACCAGUGUUGAUGUCACCAAUCCAAGGACGGCCAAUGAAAGUGUAUGUAUCGACUGAAAAAGAAUCAAUAGCUAGAAUGGUCACACAGGAAGACCAAUUUGGUGAAGAAAUGACAAUUUACUACUUAAGUAGAUGGUUAACGAAAUGUGAAUGUAAUUACUCUGCUAUCGAAAAAUUAUGUCUUGCAUUGUAUUUCACAUGUACAAAAUUAAGGAUUUAUUUACGGCCAUAACUGUUUAUUUAAUUUUUAAAGUAAAUUUAGUUAAGUACAUGUUUUCGCGCCCUAUUUUACACCAAAGGGUAGGCCUUUGGACACUAGCUUUAUCAGAAUUUGAGAUACAAUAUAUACCUCAAAAGACAGUCAAAAAUCAGGCUUUGGCUAACUUUCUAGCCGAUCAUCCAUGCCUUGACAUGCCUGAAGAAAUUGAACUAGAAAUCAAUUCGUUCGAGCUAAAACCUUGGGUGUUGUAUUUCGAUGGAUCAAAAACCUCUAAAGGUACAUGAGUAGGAGUAGGAGUAGGAGUAGCAUUAAUUAAUCCUUUAGGGAUUUGCUACAAGUUCGCAUUCACUUUAGACAGAAUGUGCACCAACAAUCAGGCCGAAUAUGAAGCCUUAAUUGUAGGUCUAGAACUAAUGAUAGAUAUGGGAAUAAGAAAUGUGAUUGUUAUGGGUGAUUCUCAAUUGGUAAUCCACCAAUUGAUUGGUAAUUUUAAAUGUCAAAGUGAUUCCAUUAUUAGUCAACAUGAGAUCACCCAAGAAUUGUUAGAAGAAUUCGACCAAGUAGAACUUCAAUGCGUUAAUAGGAUAUAUAAUGACGUGGCAAAUGAGUUAGCUCAAAUGGUCUCAGGGUACUCAAAGGUUUUGAAUUGGAAGUCUACUUGUGAGUAUGGAAUCAUAUUGCCCGUGACUCAAAGAAGGGCGAGAAAGACUGAACUUCACUGCAUACAAGAUGGAGAUGCAAUGGAUUGGAGAAUAGAGAUUAAAAGGUUCCUUAAAGAACCUAAUGGAAGGAUUAGUAGGAAAAUGAAGCUGUGUUUGCUGAACUAUACACUAAUAGAUGAAGAGUUGUUUAAGAAACGCUCUGAUGGUGUAUUACUAAAAUGUGUAAGUUUGCAAGAAGUCAAAACGAUCAUGGCUGAGGUGCACGAAGGGAUAUGUGGAGCUCAUCAAGCUGGCCAAAUGAUGAGAUGGUUAAUUAUUAGGAGUAGAUAUUUUUGGCCAAAGAUGGGAGAAUUAUGCGUUCAGUAUGCAAAGAGUUGUUUAGCAUGCCAAAAGCAUGGUCCAAUACAAAGGGCGCCAACACGAGAGAUGACACCUAUUAUUAAACCUUGGCUGUUCAAGGGUUGGGCGAUAGACUUGAUAGGGAAGAUUUAUCCCUCAUCGUCCAAGCAACAUACUUUUGUUAUAGUUGCAACCGACUAUUUCACCAAGUGGGUAGAGGCGGUACCUUUGAAAGAGAUCACCCAGAAGAACGUCAUAGAGUUUAUUCGUGAUCACAUCAUUUAUAGGUUUGAAAUUCCACAAACAUUGAUGGUAGAUCACGAAACAUCUUUGAAUGGAGAUCAAGUGAACAAAUUUUUGAGCGAGUUUGGGGCUAAAUUAGUAAACUUCACACCAUACUACGCUCAAUCCAACGGACAAGCAGAAUCUUCUAAUAAGGUUCUAAAAAAUAUCAUUAGAAAGAUGAUAGACGAAAAUGCCAGAAAUUGGCACGAAUGUCUGAACAAGGCCUUAUGGGCUUAUAGAACAUCACCUCGGUCAAGUACCAAAAUUACUCCUUUCCAACUUAUUUAUGGACAGGAGGCCGUUUUGCCUAUAGAAAUCAACGUGCAAUCGAUUAGAGUGUGCUUGCAACAUAAGUUGAAAGAUGAUGAGUACGCCGAAUCACUAGUUCAAAAUUUAUUGGGGUUAGACGAAUUAAAAUUGGACGUCUUAGAUAGAUUGCAAGUUCAAAAACAAAGAAUGGCUAAAUUUUAUAAUAAAAAAGUCAUAGUCAAGUCGUUCAGCCUGGGUGAACUAGUUUGGAAGACGAUACUCCCUUUGGAUAGCAAGGAUCCAAAGUAUGGGAAGUGGUCGCCCAAUUGGGAAGGACCAUACAAAAUAAACAGUGUGUUACCCAAUGGAGCAUAUCAUUUGGAAGAUUUAGAUGGCACCAAGCACGUGAGAUUCAUUAAUGGCAAAUAUUUGAAAAAAUAUGUUCCUUCUUUAUGGGAAUGUGAAUAGAUAAAAGUACAAUCAAAAUAUGUUGAACGAUUAAGGAUAACAAGGUCAGAGCGAAAUACGUUCAAAUAAAGUCCUUUAUUAUCAAACGUUCAUUACAAAGAUACAAAAAUAUAAAUAAUGGAUGCUCUACAAACUACAAUCAAAAGUAAGCUAAUCUCCCGAUUGAUCGCUGAGUAAGAGGAUGGACUGGCCUCACCACCUUCCUAAAUGCAUCGCUGCAAUGGCGGGCAAAGAGUUUUAGAAGCACUCUCAGCAAGCAAGUUGAGAAGCACUCUCAACAAGCAAGGUGGCCCGCAAGCAUCCCAAAAAUUGCCUCCUAUCAUCGACUCCUUGUAAAGGACAAAGAGACGAUGGGAAGAACUUUGAUGGUAAAAACUUUGCUGCUGGACAAAAAAUAUUUCCUAUACCUCCCACACCAAAGGUGACAUCAAGGCAAAUAGCCCAAAGUUUUGGAAAAAGUGGUGAAAAUAUCAAAAGAAAAUGGGCAAGAUUUUUUAGUACAAAGCAGUUAAAUGCUUGAAGAAUUGACGAUUAAAAAACAAACGUCAAAUAAAUGCACAAGAAGUUAACAUAUAUGUUCAUUAAUGAUGAACAAAGUUACAAAGGGAAAAUCAAAUUACAAAAGAAAAGGGCAUCGUAUAUCUUAAUUACAGUCCACCCCACACUGAACGAAUUUGUUCCCUGAGUUUUUCCCAAUCCUCGUUCUGCCGAGAGGAAGUGAUGUUCAAUUCGGCCAUGACAUCAUCAUCAACUUCCAACUUCUUGUACUGCUCAACCAAGGACUUAGUUCGCUCAAUUCCCUGGGAGGCGUUGCGCUUUUUAGCAGCCAUUCUCGCCUUGCAGUCAUCAAUUUUGGCUUGAAGUUCCUUCAUUUGAGCAGCCAAACUAACCAUCGAAGAGUCUUCAAUCAUGACUUCGAAAGAGAUCUCUUUCAACUCAUCCUCAGCCUUGUUGAUCUCCAGACGCAGAGACUCUUUUUCAGAGAUGGCGCGAAGAUAUUGAGUAUUUUUGGCCUUUAGUUCAGCAUUCUUGGCCAGCAAGGAAAGGACCUCGGAGUGGAUAACCUUCAACGUCGCUUUAAAAUCGGCAGAAAGAUUGAGCGACGGAAGCGUCAGUGCUUGCUCCAAUUUCGCAUUCAAAUGCUCAAGUUUAUCCUUGUGUCUAGCAGCACUAGCCCUACCAAUGUCCAUAUCCAUGAAGGACACGUACUCAAAUAUCAACUGUUUGAGGAACUUCAAAUCUUCCUCUAAAGAAGCAGCAGGACGAUCAGAUGGAGCAGGGCGAGAUGUCUUGACUUGCCCCCAGGAAGCGAAUAAGUUUUGGAUAGAAGGCACAAUCUUGUCAGCAUCCUGCAAAGAAAAUUGCCAAUAUUGAAGAUUCUCACUACAACGAACAAAAUGGAAAUAAAAUUGAAGCAAAGAUUACCUCAUCAACAAUCGUGGAAGAUGGCAUAUCCUCAACCAAAUCUACCACCAGUGACUCCUCCAUUCGUGACGACUUUCCCUUGUUUGAGCGAGAAGAUGUUGCCACAACAGGCAGACUCAUAGGAGUAUCUGCAGAACUCAAGAGCAACAAAUCAGAAACGAAUAGCACAAGCAAAGGUAAGGCAUCAAAAAACUGAAUUACCUUCUGCUUCAAUGUUUGGGGGGUUGACGCCCUGAGAAGAAGGUGGCUCAUCCAUGGGUUGUGAUAAGGAUUCUGGGACUGAAGAUGUCUCUUUAAGUGUAGCCCCUCAUCAACCGGUUUGGAUGAAGCAGCCUCAGCAGAGGAUGAUGGAGCAGGAGCUGCUGAUGCCAAAGCCUUUAAAGGAGAGGCUGAACUUUUCUGAGGAAUCCAAAUAAAUCGUCAGCACACAGAAAAGUUUCAAGUAUGAAAAAGUAUGCUUGUGGGUAAACCAAUUUAAUUACCUUCCUCCUGACGAUAAGAGGGGUAUCAUCAUCAUCAUCAACAUCAUUCUCCAGAAUAGGAGAUGCUGAGGCUGGCCGUUUGCGGCUUGGGGCGCUCUUGGCUGUAGUAGGCUUGGCAGGAAGAGAAGAAGAUGGACGAGCAGACUGUUUAGCGCAACGAGAAGGAGAAGGACUCUUGAUGGAUGAAGGAGUGACUAAAACAGGAGGAGGGGAAGAAAUGCUCGGCUGGUCUAGUGAAUGAAAGGCACGAUUGGCAUCAGUCGCAAAUAAUCUGCGCUUCAUUGAGGGCCAGAGCUGUUCAAAAAGAGGAUGGAUGACGUGGCUAGAAUUGAAAGGGGCUAAUGAAAAAUGGCUGGUUAAAAGAAGAUUGCAAGCAUUUAUAGCCUCUGCUCCGCCUUAUUAAUAAUAUGAAAACGGUCAAUUAAGUUCCUUGAAUAGCAAGGAGGAACAUGCCAAGUUUGGCCGAAACCAAGUUAGCGAGCAAAAAAUUGGGGAACAUAAAUUUCUACCCCUACCUUGGCAUUGGUCCCAGUUAAAAUAUCAUGAAAUGGCUCUCUCCCGGUUAAAAACUGGAUCCAAAUGAGUAGGGAGGUGCUCGCGCUGUCUAUAGUGGAGGGGGGAUGUACAUAGUUUGGAGUCAAAAAAGGAGGAAAAGGAAAAAAGGAAGAGAUUGAAUCCAAAGAAUAAAAGAAUGAAAAAAUGUCCCUUCUGGACAUAUUUACAGGAGCCAAGGGCUCAAUGGCUAGCCCAUAGUAGCUAGCAGAGGAACGAGAAAUUGAUGGAGCACCAAGCAAUGGAAAAUAGGAUCUCAACCACAGUUGAGUGAACCAAAGACGUCCACUGCCAAUGGGAGAUGCACCAUUCUUCAAUUGAGUUUGAAGAGAAGCUAUGCCUCUAUAAAGGGCAGCCAAAAAGAAAGAACAUAAAUUCAAAGGCCUGCCACGCGCCAAUUCGUGCGCUAUGGGUAAAUAACUCAGGGAGGGCUUUAUACUUGGCACCCACAAAACGUAUUUACAAAGCCAAACUAGAAGAAAGGCCACUCGCUCAGUAUGGGAAGGCUCAGCGCUCGAAUGAUUGUGAAGGGUUUGCAGGCUUGAAUAAGACUCGGUGUAGUUUUUACCAAACUUUGGGGCGCCACCAGAAACCAAGAUACCAGGAAAAAUGGUAUCGCCCAAAGGUGGUAGAUUCACUAGGGCCCCAACAUCCCUUAAACUAAUAGACAUGGGGCCAAGAGGGAAAAUAAAGGUAUUAUACUCGGAAGACCAAAAACUCAAAGCAAUCGAAAAAAGUGUUGAAUCAAAAGUAGGGGGACGAAUAGAGAUUUCUAACAAAUCAGAAAUCCUAACAUUAUCAAAAAGUGUCUUAGUAGGACCAUGACCCACUAGACGAGCAUGCCACCUACAGAAAGCUACAUCAAAUUUAGGCCAAGUACGAAUACCUCUUUCGCGAAGUGGCCCCAGCGGCAGAGAGUUUAGAAAUGGAAGGCCUUGAGUACAAGGAAACAGCUGACCCAUCGUCGCCUGUUCAACUGCCUCUGCAUUGUUGAAGAAAGGAUCUAAGUAGAACUCAUUGCGUUCGACAUCGGCGGGCGCGAGAAAACUCGCAGUUAUGUAUGGACGACUCAGAAGUUUCUAAAAGUCAUCAAAACUAAAGGAGUCGCCAGCUUGAGAUUGUGAAAUAGCCAUUUGAGAUGGAACGAAGUUUUUCAGAGUUACGUAGCAGGGAAGCAAAAGAUGAACAGUAAAUCGUGGGAGAGACGCGAAAAAUUAAGGCGUGAUUUAAUGGUGCAGUGAAAUGGCGUGUUUGGGGGUUAUAAGGGUUUGCAAAACGACGCACCUUUUCAAUUUAUGGAAGAAAACAAUGAUUGAAAUUCUUGGGAAUCUCGAAUGUUGCUGGAAACACAAAGUGAAUAUGGCAAAAUUUAAUAAUUAUUAUUAAUUCUGCCAUAUUGGGGGGUAAUUGUUGACACAUAAAAAUUCAGCCUAAAUCGAACGGUCCAAGGAAUGAAGCCCAAUUGGAGGAUCCCCAAAUCAGAUAGCCCAAAGAACGAAGCCCAAUCAAACAAUUCAAGAUGAAGGCCCAAAUAGGGAGGCCCAAGAACGCGGUAAUGCCAUCGCCCAAGUUUGCAAGUCGCCUAGAAUCUGAGCGAAUGGAGUGCCAUGCAGUCGCCCAGAGCCGUUACUUUAUUCUCGCCCAAACCUUCAAGUCGCCCAAGGUCUUAACAAACAUAAAGCGUUGUGGUUAUCAAGAAGUGCAGUUAUCAAAGCAGUUAUUAAAGCAGCCCUAUCACGUUACACGAUUCAAGGAAUUCAAUUGAAAAUGGUUGAACGACGAAGAGUAAUGACAGCAGUUAAAAAAGGCAGUUUUCAUGACAAGCUGGUCAUUACGAGGAAAGUAGGCAGUUGUAGAACGAUCAAGCAGUUUUUAGGCGGUUGAUCACAAAAAAGAUCAUCCAUGGAGUAUAAAAGGGAGAAAAGACAUAGAGCAAAAGACCAAAUCAAAAACUCUCGAACAGAGAACAUGUAAUUUUAAUUUCUUUAGUUUAGACUUAAACGCUUUUUUCAGUAACUCGUGUGCUUGCGCUCUUUGGAAACAUUUUGUUUUUGAUUUCCAAUUGUACAGUCAUCGUCAAUAAAAGAACAUCCCUUUUUGGAACUUUGUCUCAAGAGAUUUAUCCCUUACACAAUCGUCUAAUCCCUUUUAAUUGUUAGCGACUAACUCGCGCGAAACAAAAAGCAAAUCUAUCUUUAUAAAAUGAAUAUGGUAUUUUAAAGAAUAAAAAAUAUGCGGGAAUUGAAAUUACGUUGCGUUCAGCAUGGAUAGGUUUGGUGCUUGGAAGAUGGUUAAAUUUCAUCCACAGUCACUGAAUUUUCAUAGAAAUCUUAACUGGGUCACUAAACUUGUAGAAUGAUUAUAAUCUUUAACCGAACUACUUGUAGUAAGCAAUUUUCAUCAAUUUGAGGAUGUCAUGUGAUGGACUCGUGCAAUUUGAAACUAAAAUAAAGUGAUGGUUUAUUCAAUUCAAAACUUACGAUGCGAUUGGUUUGUUGUUUUCAAUUUUGCAAAGCACUAAAAAUGAGUUUGUUCCAAUAUUUUUAGAAAUACAUUUUUAGAAUCAAAGAUAAAUUUAUAACUUAAAGCUCAAAAGGUAUUUUUGAAUUUUUUUAGUAUUUUCAAUGAAAAUUCCGAAAACAUUCAAAACAUAAAAAACAAGAGUUUAAAUAAUAUUUUAUUUAAAUAAAAUUUUGACAAAUAAAAAUAAAACAAUAAAAAAAUAAUUUCAAAAAUUAAAACAUUAAAAAUAAAAUUAUAAAACUUCUAAAAAAUUAAAAUUAUAAAAAGUUAAUCAAUAAAAAAUUAAAUUAGUUCAAGCUCUUAAUGAUUAAUUACAUAAAAUUCUAAAAAUAUAUUUAUGUGAACAUAGAUAAAAAUGUUUUUAGCCCACUUCAUUAAUUUUUAUUUUUAUUUCAUAGAGAGAGAAAAUAUUGUCACAUUCACUAACUUUGAAAUGUAAUAUUACACACUAAUAUAUUAACAUAAAACUAUUCUAUUUUUAUUGAAUAAAUGUUAUAAAAUAAUUUUUCAAAAUUCCAAUCCGAACGUAUUUUUUUCAAGUUUUCUUUUCUAAAAAAAUAAAAUAAAUUCAAAAUGACUAAUUAAACUCAUUUUUAGAAAUUUUAAAUGAACCAUUAAAGCAGAAAACUAAAAAUAACUUAAAAUUCAAAAUUGAAAACUGAAACACCAACGAAACAGACCCUUGAGUAACGAAUUAAGAUUUCACUGAAAGUUCACUAAGGGCCUGCUUGAUUUGGCCAAUUUUCCAUGGAAAACAUUUUUCAUUUUCUGCCUUUUGACUUGUUUAAUUGCAAAUUUUUCUUGGCAAUUAGGGUUGAAUUUUACAUCAAUAAAUAUUCUUUGUUUACAAAUUAAUCAGCCCAGUUCCAUGCUUCAAUUUAAGUACGUCUCAAAUUGGUGAUUGAACAUCUAUUCAUUUAUAAUCAAUCACUUAACUUCAAUCGGAGGGUGCAUAAUGCCUCCCAAAACUGUAUGGAAAAUCAUAUGUGGCCAUGUUCAAACAUUGGGAAGCAUUGAGUCAAUUGCAAUUGUCAGUUGGGGACUUCAACGUAAAUAUUGAAAAUAUGUUUGUAGUUGGGAAAGUGAUGAAUGGAAGAUUAAUAAGAGUUAAGAAUGACAAUUCGAUGCUAAGAAUUAAAUUGGGUAUCUUCUAAUAUUUUUAAAAAGUUAGAAUAUAGUGAAGAUAAAUUUUGGAGACAUUUGCUUAUUUGGGUUAAGGGGGUAUUUGAUAGGCAUUUUUAUGUAAAAAUGCAUUUUAGAAUAGUAAAUUGAUGUGAAAUGUGUGGUUGAAAAAUAAGAAUUUUUUUUUUAUUUACGGUGUAAUAUUAUUUUAAUAAAGAAUAUAUAGUUGAAAAAAAGAGAGAGAAAAAAGCAUUUUGAAGAAAAUAGCUACCAAACGGGAUUUAAGUAUGCAAAUAUUGAUAAUGUGAGAAUCUGUAUCAGUAUGUCAUUAUCUGGCUCAAAUCAUAGCUCAUAUUUAAUUACGGAAAAAUUGCAGCAGCGUUUCCUAACUUUCACUUUUUUACGAACUUUACUCUAACCUUCACUUUGUAAUACCCACAGUCUCAAAUCUUUCAAAAAUAUGCAAUUGAGGUCCAAAUGGAUGGAAACCGUCAUUUGAUCAUUAAUUGACUAGAAAAGUCUAUUUGGAUCAAAUUAGAAAGGGUAUAACAGUACUUUGUAUUUUUCUAAUUAUUAACAAUUAAAAUAAUUAAAAAAAACAAAAGAAAAGUAAAAAGUCUGCAACCAACCCCGAACCCUACCCCCAAACCCAUCCCCCUGCCAUCUCCUUCAUCUCUUCACCGGAAAAUACCAAGGCAACGCCACCACAACUUCUACUCUCUGUCGCCAACGCCAUUUGGUAAAACCCGUCUCCACCGUUGUUACAAUUUUCCUAAGAAAAAUCACCGUCCACGCCCAUUCGCGAUGAACUGCAGAUCCACUAAUUGGCUGAUUCGAGGAGAAUUGAUGAAGACCCAUCAUGUGCAUUGAUAAUAAUAUAAACUAUCUAAAAUCAAUGUAUUGAAUCAAUUCAAAGAGAACAAGAGAGAAGAGAAGAAGUUGAAUGAAGGGAGAAAACCACAAUCUAUUAAGGCAACAACUAACUAGAGUUUUAAAAUGAAAUAAGACUUAUUUUUAUACUACAAGGAAUCCUAAAAUAAUAGAAAACCUAAAAUAAGGAAAUAAAUAAAUAUAUAAAUAUAUAAUAUCAUCCCUCCUCAAACUCACGAUGCUAAAGCAAGAAGCAGCGAGAGUUUGUCAUGUAAGAAGCGAAAAUGAUGAAUUGGAUGAGAUUUAGUGAAAAAAUCAAUAAGCUGCAAUGAUGAAGAAACAAAAGGUAGGAAAAUGGUGCCAGUCUACAUAUGAUGUAGAGUUAGAUGACACUCAAUCUCAAUAUGCUUGGUGCGCUCAUAAAACACAGAGUUACGAGAGAUCUGAAUAGUACUAGUAUUAUCACAAUACAUAGGAGUUGGGAAAGAAUGAGGAACACCCAUGUUUGCAAGUAACUAACGUAACCACACAAUCUCGGUGGUAGUGGAUGCCAUAGCUUGAUACUUUGCCUCUAUAGAGAAACGGGAAAUAAUAGUCCGCUUCUUACUUCUCUAAGAGAUAAGAGAAUCACCCAAAAAUAUACAAAAAUUAGUAUUAGACUUGCGAUCAAUGGGGUCGCUGGCCCAAUCAGCAUCAGAGUAGGCACGUAGCACUAAGGAAGAGGUCGAUGUGAACAAAAGACUUUGAAAGCAUGUACCACGAAGAUAACGCAAAAUACAAACAACUGUUGCCCAAUGAACUGUAGUAGGAGUUGAGACAAAUUGACUAACAAUGUAAAUAACAUAAGCAAUGUUAGGACGUGUGAUGGUAAGAUAAACGAGACAUCCAACAAUAGUGCGAUACAAAGUAGGAUCAGUCAAUGGUAUAUCGUCAGAUGAGGAAUAUCGAGCAUUAGACUCAAGAGGAGUAUCAAUAGUUUUAAUAUCAGUAAGGUGGACACGCUCAAUAACAUCCAUAGUAUACUUGGACUGAGAGAUAAGAUAACCUCUAGGAGAAGAAGCAACUUCAAUUCCCAAAAAAUAAGAUAGUGGACCCAAGUCCUUCAUUUCAAAACGACAAGCUAAUUCUAAUUUCAAACCUACAAUUCCAUCAACAUCUUCAUCAGUAAUAAUCAUAUCGUCAACAUAUAACAAUAAUAGAACGUGACCAGCUGAAGUGCAUCUAAAGAAUAGAGCGGAGUCAUGAUGAUUGGAUAUAAAACCAAGAGACGUAAUAAAGGUGGAAAAUUUCUCAAGCUAGGCACGAGAUGCUUGUUUGAGACCAUAAAGUGCUUUCUUGAGCUUACAAACAAAUCCAGGAGAGUGAGAGAGACCAGUAGGGACCAUGUAAACCUCCUCUUGAAAAUUUUCAUUUAAAAAUGCAUUUUUGACGUCCAAUUGAGAAAGACUCCACUGACGAACAAAUGCAACUGCAAUAAUUGUACGAACAAUGGUCAUCUUGGUAACAGGAGCAAAAGUCUCCUCAUAAUCCAAACCAUAUUGUUGAUUAAAACCUUUCAAACCAAUCUAGCCUUAUAGCGCUUAACUGAACCAUCAAAUUUAGUUUUAAUCUUAUAAACCCAACGACAACCAAUAGCAUAUUUACUUGAAGGCAGUACAACUAAAUCCCAAGUGUAUGUCUUCUGCAGAGCAGAGAAUUCAUCAGUCAUAGCAUGUUGCCAAAGAGGAUCUAAAAUAGUUUCUUUAUAGGAAUAUGGUUCAGAUAACUUAUGAAUAGAGAUUAGAAAGCAGCAAAAGGACUCAGAAUAACAAGAAUAAACAAAAUCAGGUAACUGAAUGAACUUACAAAUACGUUGAGAAUAUCGAGAAAAAGAUGAAGCAAGAGCAGGAGUAGGAUCAACAAUCUCAGGCGGAGCUUGGGAAGCCAUAAAAGAGGGAGGCGUAUCAUGACUUGGAGCGAGAAAAUCUCCCCAAUGGUUACUGAACUUUGCAGAAAAUCCCCUAGGAGGUCACCGAACUUCAAUACGUGCCUAAAUAGUCACUGAACGUUGUCGAAAGCCCCCAAGAGUUCACCGAACUUCAAAACAUUCCUGAAUGAUCACUGAACUUUGUCGAAAUCUCCCAGAGAGGUCACUCAACGUUGCAAAUUGGGACCCCAUACAUGACUAGUUUAGUGACCUCCCAGGGACGUUUUGCAAAGUUCAGUAACCAUUCAGGGAUGUUUUGAAGUUCGGUGACCUCUUUGGAGACUUCGAAAAAGUUCAGCGACUAUUUAGGAAUGUAUUGAAAUUCGUUGACCUCCUAUAGAUUUUUCUGCAAAGUUCAGUGACCAUUGGGGAGAUUUCCUCGACCUGGAGCAUGUGCACUUGUAGGACACAAAGAAUCAACAGAACAUGGGGUAUAGGAAGGUGAAUUGUUUAUAUCAUCAGAGAAUGGAUUAAUAUGAAUGAGGUCAGUUUUGGUCACGUCAUGAGUAUUAUUAGGAAUAGAGAAGAAUGAAAUGUGCUAAAAAAACACGACACAACAUGACCAGAAAUAUAUAAUUUAUUAGUUAUGGGAUCAAAAAGUAAUAACCCUUUUGCCCUUACCCAUAACCUAAGAAAACACAGAUAGCAGAGCGAGAUGUCAACUUACUACGGUCAACUUUAUGACGAAGAAAAAAAUAUGUACAACCAAAGACUCUCAAUGAGGAGUAAUCUGGAGGAUGCCCACACAAUGUUUCAAAGGGUGAUAAACCUGAAUUGUGGGAAGAUGAAAUCUUAUUAAUUAAAUAAAUUGUAGUGAGAGACACUCUCCCCAAAAUUCACUGGGAACUUUGGCUGACAAAAGAAGUGAACGAGUAGUUUUUACAAUGUGCCUAUGUUUUCGUUCGGCAACAUCAUUUUGUUGUGGAGUAUUAGUACACGAGGUUUGACGAAUUGUGCUGUCAAGAGCAAGCAAUUCAGAGAAAUCAGUUGAGGUGUACUCUCCACCCAAGUCACAUCUAAAGCAUUUAAUUACUGUGGAAUGUUGAGUUUUAAUAAGGCUCUAAAGGAUCGAUAAAUAGACAGAAAGUCAGAUCGUCGUUUCAUAAGAUAAACCCAAUAAUAAUGACUAUAAUCAUCAAUAAAAGAUGCAUAAUAUCGAGACCCUCCUUUUGUAGCAAUAAGAGCAGGUCUCCACACAUUAGAAUGAAUAAGAUCAAAUGGUGUAAUAGAAUGAGAAAUACUUCGAGGAAAAAAUAAAGCAGAAAAUUUUGUUAAUUUGCAACCACUACAAUAAAAAAUGUCAUGAGUUUGUAUAUUUUCCAAUUGACCCUUAGAAACUAAAAAUUUCAAACGACCAGCAGAAACAUGUCCAAGGCGAGAAUGCCACAAAUAAAAAUUAGAAGACAAAGAAUUGAAAGAAAAAGAUGAUAAAUCAACACUAAGGGUUGCAAUAUGCGAUGAUUUUAGAUUGUCCAGAACAUAUAACCCUUCUUGUCUACAGCUUAUCUCAAUCAGCUUCUGAGAUUGAGGAUCCUGCACAUGACAAGCAGUAGAAAAAACUGAAAUAAGUAUCCAGAAUCGCACAAUUGGCCAAUAGAGAUAAGAUUCAAAGUAAGAGUUGGAACAUAAUAGACAUCUGAAAGUGAUAAAUUAUGUGUAUUAAUAGAACCAACACCUGCUAAAAGUAAUGACGUACCAUUAGCAGUCAUAACAGACAUGGGCGAGUUAGAAGGACGCAAGUUAUUAAAGAAUUUUGAGUUAAACGACAUGUGUUUAGAAGCACCUGAGUCAAAGAUCCAUGAGGAAGAGAUAUCUGAGUGACUCUAUGAUGACAAACCUACAUGAGUGGAGGCUGACAUAGCAUGUGGUUGUGGAACUAAGAACUUCUGAAACUGCUCUGCUAAGUUCGUCAACAUGGGAUUGGAGGAAGGUGGUGCUCCAAGUAUGGAUGAAUCACUAGGUGGCAUGGUGGCAACUGUGUUAGCAUUAGGACGAUAAGAUUGCUGCUGUGAUUGAGGUUGCUGUUUCUUCAAUAACUUAUGACAUUGUGACUUUCAAUGUCCUUUUUGUUUACAAAAGUUACACUCGUCAUUGGCAGCUCGCACAUAACUUUUAUUCUGAUUCUGUGUGGACAGUCAAGAGGGUAUGGCCAACACUGAUGUGCUAGAUGGAAGAAGAGAAGCUUCUCUCGCAAGAGAUUUCAAAUGUAUUUCCUCAGCUACAAGUUCACUAACAACCAAAUCAACUGAAGGAAGUGGAGUACGAUGUGAGAUAGAGCCUCAAAGUCCUUCAAAAUCACUGUGAAGUGCCAUAAAAAACUGAACUAAUGGGUGCUCCUUUCUAAAAGUAAUAUAUUCCUCACAUGCUUUCAGUCCUGUUGAUUCCGUAAAAGCCAACUCAUCCCAAAUUGAAUUCAUAGUAGCGUAAAACUCAAGUAUACUCAUAUCUUUUUGAUGUAAAGCUCGUAUAUCAAUUUCUAACUGAUACCGCUUUGCAAAGUUAAACUUAGUAUAUAAAGUUUGAAAAUGCUCCCAAACUUCCUUCGUUGUUUCAAACUUCGCUGACUAUGUACCAAUAGAUUACAGAAUUAUGAAUCCAAGUCAGAAUUUUUGCGUUGUUUGACUCCCAAUUAUCUAACUCUGUUACAUAAUUUUGAGCAGUGUUCUCCGGUUUCACAACAGUUCUACUGACAUAACCCCACAAUCUUUUUCCUUUGAGAAAAUUUCUCAUCACUGUACUCCAAUAUGAGUAAUUUUUACUAUUUAAUCUAACACUAAUGGAUUGAAGUGAGUCAUCUCUUUCGGAUGCCAUCAUAAAGUCAAUAAAUGAUCAACUACGAAUCAACGAAAUCACCUAAUUUUUAAAGAAAACGACGAUAACUAAUGUACCACCACAAACCACAAUUGAAAAAUACUACAUAAUGUACGUAUAAUCAAAGUAACACCACCAGAAGAUCAAAAAUUUACCAAGGAACAAACUAUCUUUUGAAAUCACCCAGAAUAACCUACCACGCGCCCUCAACAUCAUUAAGCGUAUCAUCCAUGCGCCUCCGCCACGCGUCACUGUUAGCCUACACGCACUUGAUAGGAAUCUGCGUCUCAAUUUGCUGAACAAAGAUCCGGCCUUAUUUUUCCAAUCAGUCUAUGGUUUGUUAGGAAUCAUGAUUUUUAGUUCUGAUCGAUUAAGUUUUUGGCACAAAUUUUAUUUGUCUAAUUUCUGCCUCAAAUUCCAGCACAUCCCAAUAAAUUUUUUUACAAAUUUCACUCAAUUAUCUAGUUCGAUACCAUGAUAAUAAUAUAAACUAUCUCAAAUCAACGUACUGAAUCAAUUCAAAGAGAACAAGAGAGAAGAGAAGAAGUUGAAUGAAGGGAGAAAACCACAAUCUAUUAGGGCAACAACUAACUAGAGUUUUACAAUGAAAUAAUACUUGUUUUUAUACUACAAGGACUCCUAAAAUAAUAGAAAACUAAAAUAAGGAAAUAACCUAAAUUAAGGAAAUAAAUAAAUAUACAUUAUCAUGCAUCUUCUUCACCAUGAUGAGUAGAAGCCAAUGGUGGUGGUGGUGUGCGAUCAUCGUUCGUAAUAUCGGCGUUGGAAUUUGGGACAGAAGGUGCGUGGUUCACUGCCUUUGGAUAUUACUAUUUUGUUUCUGAUUUAAAUUGUUUCUUAAUGGUAUGGGGCCAUGAAACUUCUAGUCUAGGGGAGUAUUAAUAGUCUAUAAUGAAGUUAGGCUAUGGGUUGAAGGCCAGAAUUGGAGGAACGGCCAUGUGUAAUGACAUUUUUUUGGGAGUGAAAUUGGUCUAAUUUCGAUUAGUUAUUGCUGUUUUUUGUAUGGGAUUGUAAAGUGGAAUGAGGAGGUGUUGGUGGUGUCAAGAUCCUGUGGUUUAUCCGACAUUGUGUGGUGGUGGCGAUGACAAUGUUGACCAUGGUGUGGUUGGGUUGGAAAGGAGGAGGAGGAAGGGUUAUGGUUGGUGGAUAUAUUGAAAUAUAUCAUUAUUUUAUUUUUUUAUUAUUUUGUUUAAGUUUAUUAUUAGGAGGGAUAGAUGAGAAUUAAUAGCAAAAGUAACAUGUUGCCCUUUUUAAUCUGAUCAAAAUUAAUUAAAUUUUGACUUUUUGGUCAUUAAAGUCAAAACGGAUCCAUUUGGAUCCCAUGUGCAUAUUUUUGAAAGGUUUGAGACUGUGGGUGGCACAAAGUUAAGGUUAAGGUAAAAUUUGUAAAAAAGUGAAAGGUUAGGGAUCGUUGUUGUAAUUUUUCCUUUAAUUACGUGGAGAUGACGCAAGAAACAGUUGAUUCGAACAUUCUAAGUAGUUCAAAGAAAACUAGUGUUAUUUAUUUAACAAGGACCAAAUUAUAGUUUUAGCGUGUGUUUGAACUCCAUUAUUCCAAUUUUUGCCAACUUUCCAAUUUUUAAACAGUAAAUUAAUUGUUAAAAAAUUGCAAGUAGACAGAACUGUGUCAAGUCUUUUAAUUGUUGCUAAAAACGUUGAAAUAGCCCUUGUCAAAACAUCCUCAUUUUUCGUAAGUAAUUUCCAAAAAUAAUCCUGCUAUUCAACGUUUACAUAGCGUCCCACCAUUUAUAUGAAGGGUAAACUAGGAAAUCAGAUUUGGGUACUUGCCACAACUCUCCAAGUCAAUCAUGGAUGGAGUUUGACAAUUCAUUCAAUGUGGCCCCCACAAUGAAGAAUAUGAAAUUGGCAAAAAAUUGGAAUAAUGGGUCAAACACUCGCUUAGUUUGACUUUCAUUUUAGGGUAAAUUAGAUUUGAGAUAAUUAUUAGGGACAGGAAUUGACCUCCAUCCCAUAGCAGGCUAUAGAUAUUUUGUCUACCUCACCAGUGGUUUAGUAGGCAUGAGAACAACACACAUCUCGCCACCUCACCAGUGGUUUGGUAGGCAAGAGAUCAAUCCUGCCUUUAAUAAUUAUCUCGAAUCUAAUUUGGAGUCCAUUAACAUCUAAUUGAGAUUUGGUGAGUUCGAGCCAUAGUGUCUAUUUAACUUUAAGAAUAUGUUUAGUAAACUAUACCGUAUAUCAUCACACAAGAUAAUAAGACAAGAUUUAACUUAUUUUCUUAUUUUCUUCAAUAAUCAACCUUUAUUCAAUCUAAUAUAUGAAGAGCUUUUUUGGGAGUGAUUUUUUCUUCCAAAAAAUUGAUUUUUUGACUGUUAUUUCACUAUUUCAACGGCCAUAUUUGACUUCAUCUCUCACAGAUUAACCCCACUUUUCUCUUAACGGUCAAAAAAUCAAUUUUCAAAAUCACUCCCAAACAGGCUCGAAAUAUCGUAACUUGAAAUUAAAAAAAAAAAUGUUUUAGAUAUAAAUAUUGCAUAAGUUUUAGCAAGCAUCUUGGUCAAGUCAGUGGGACUAAAAUAGGAUUGCUUAAUACAUUUUUCAGAUAACCAACUGGCUAUCAUUUACUCACCCACCCAUUAUCUUCAAAUCUUGAAUUGUUUUAAAAGUAUUAUACCAACUGUGAUUUUGAUGUGCUGAAUUGAGACAAUUUAUCUACAAAAAAUCUUACACAACACACAAUCUUCCAUAAAGAACAUGAAUUUGCUUAACCUUAACUACAUAAACACCAAUAUAUCAUUUUCAUUGGAUGCUUAUUAGACUCGACCUGGAUAAGAAUUAAGCCCUUGUUUGAUUUUCAUUACAUUACAUUCUAUUUUUGUCUCUCCUAUUUUCAACCACACAAUCUUCCAUAAAAUAAUAUUACACGUAAAUCAAAAAUUUUUCUUUCUUUUUCAACCACUCAUUUUUCAAAAAAUACUAUUCUAUACAUUAAAUUUUCCCCGUAAUGGGGGCCAAACAGGGGCUUAGUAUUAAUCAAUCUAGUUGAACGAUUUAUAAUAAAAGAGACAAGUCACUGACUUUAAGAUUUUUUUUAUGAAAUUUGGUAAAGCAGUAAUUUCUUAAGAGUAAGAAUUUUAAAGGAAUGAUUGUUUUCUAUAAAAAAUAAAAAAAAAAUAAAAAAAAAAAACAGAAAAGAGAAGAAAAAUUUGCAUAGUUGGUCCCUAACUGAUUGCUCCAGUAGAAAGUUAGUCCUCAACUUUUAUAAGGAGACAGACUGCUGAUCCUGACAGUUUAUAUAACUUCAUCAAAUUAGAUAUCCUAGAGCACCGUAAGGAAACUCUAAUAGCAUCUCAAAUCAUGGUAUAAAAUAGAUCUAAAUUGUGAUUUAUAUUUUCAAAGUGGACAGAAAACUUCUCCACUGGAGGGAUGCAAAGAAAAUGCAAAUUGCAUUUUUCGAUAGAAAAUGUGAAAAAAGAUGUUACAUUCAUAAGAGACAAAAAUUGAAUUUAAAUAUUUUCAAUGGAGCAAAAUUUGAAUUUAGAUCCAUCGGAAUAUAACUGAGAAUGUGAAAGUGGUUUUAGAAAUAUUAAUUUACACCCAAUUUUACACUAUCAUUGAAGAUACUCUAGCUUCAUCAAUUUAGGCCCUUGUUUGGUCUCCAUUAUUUUCAAAAUACGUUAUUUCUCUUAUUUUAACUACACAUUUUUCAAUAAAAUAAUAUUAUAUACAAAUUAAAAAAAUUUCUUAUUUUUUAGUCAUAUAUUCUCUAUCAAAAUAUAUUUUAAAAAAAAAAAAGAUUCAAACAUGCUCUGACUAUAAUGCAUGGAUGUCAAAGCUGCUACUAUUUGAUAUGGUUGACUUUGACAAAUUGUGCAAAAUUGCCAGAGAUUCUUGCUUAAAGACUGAGCUGUGUUUUUGGUACUUGGGUCUUUGUCGACUACUUAACAAGUGGUUGACUUUGACGUUUAGCUAAACCAUAAAUUGUUCUUCAUCCCACUCUACCAAGCUGGGUGACUAGAUAUAAGUACUCUGUCCAAUGAAAUUAAUGACUAAUAAUUAGUACGGCAAACUGGUAUUUUCAUUCUAGUUAUAACUAAUUUCACAUGAUUUUUUGUAUCUAAUUUGAACUUUGUUGUGUGUAUAGAAAAUAUACGCACAGAAUGGACACAAAACAGUCACAACAACAUGGUGGGUUUUUUUGCAUUAUUUUAUUUACUGAAAUCCACCUCAAUGUGACAUUUCUGUAGAUUUUCUGUGAAAACAUUUUCUACACAUGGAAAAAUUCAUCUAAUUUUUACAUUAGGCCAAGUGAUAAUAUUGUGUUUUAGUGUUAGAAAGAAAAAUUAGAGUCUUGUCAAGUCUCUUUAGACAAGUCGAUCAUGAUUCGAAAAAAAAAAAAAAAGAGUUGAGUAUCUUGACUUGGAUUUACUUGCAUCGUGCUAAAUAAAAUCAAGAGUAAUACUAUUAAGUUCCACCGAUGUUUAGCAUUAGUUUAAAGUAUAAUGCAUUUUUAUACAUUGAACAAUGUGACAACAACUUACUAUCAAAUAAACGACUAAUGAGAGUGAAUAACGGUAUUCUAAAACCAAUAUUUACUUUGUCAUUCUUAAAAUUAUUACGAGAAUACGAUGUACUUGUAGCUUGCUUAAUCAUACUUAAAAGUUAUUUGUCUAAAUAUUAAAAAAAGUAACACCCACAAUUUAUUUGUUUUUAACUACAAAAAGUAGUGAGUCCCUCAAUCCCAAUACAUAUAAUCACUUAUAAGCCAAUUCAAUCACGUGCACGAGGAAGAAAUAAAAAGGAAAAAAGAAAAACUCAAAUGUAUAUGUUUAAUAGUGCUUUAAGUAUUUAUAAUCUAAGAGUUUUGCAAAAUAUAAGUAAUAAGUGAGGAAUUAGUUAUGAAUAAUAUGGAUAUAUUUAAUAAAAACGUGUUGGAUUAACUUAAGAAAAAAGUCAAGCUCUGGCCACUGCCAUAAACAAGAAAAUUUCAUGAAGAACAAAUGUCUACGCCAGCUGGAAGUAUCCAAUUAAAAACUUAAAUAUUACAUUACAUGUCAUAUAAAUUGAAAAAAAGGUUAAAAAAGUUUUGGAAAUUUCAAAGAUUCUUAAAAUACUACGAAACAAAAUAUUCCACGAGGUUAGCCCACCUAAAAAUGCCAGUAAAUAUUACGAAAAAUUCAAAGUUACGUCGGUGACGGUUGAAAUAAACAGUUUCCACAUCCAAAUUACCCGCGAUAUCUAUAUAUGUACGAACAAAUUCAAUUACACAUCAUUAUUAGCUAUGAAAAGUCCAUCGUUUGGUGGUGGCCGGCGCCGGAGUUCUAGUUCUGGCUUACCGGAAAAGAUGACCCACUCUCGGAGUUCAUCUAACUAUUCCUCUUCCACUGCUUCCACCUCUUCCCAUAAGUCAACCACCGGUUCCACUAAGAACCCCGUCAAGAACGCUGCCCGUACCAUGGCUGACGCUUUGGUGGCUUGUUUUACUCCGCCGGAGACGCCCAAAAACUCCGUCAACUUCAGUGUUUCUUCAGGUACGUCAUUUGAUUCGAGCUUAUGUUUGUGUUUUCUGUGUUUUGCUGAUAUGUGUUUGUGAUUUUGUCGAACGGAAAAUAUGGUUCUUGAGUUGACUGUCUUUGGUGAUGUGCCCAAGAUCUUUGUUUUUUUAUUUUUUAUUUUAAUGAGCCUGUGAGAAUUGAUUUUUCUGGUCAGAUUUUUUCUUGAUUUUCUUUUAGAUUUUUGUUUAUUUGGUUUUUUUUUUUUUACUUUAUUUUUAUUUUUUCCUGUUGAUAGAAUGUGACUUGAAUGGAUCAGAAGAAAAUAGGAUUUUCUGUUAACAUAUCUUUAAGAUGCAUUACUCUUCCUAAAUUUAUUUGCUUGAUUUGCUUGUUUAGGAUUUGAUUUUAACAUCUCUGAAAACUAAUUGGUGUUCGACAACUAAACCUUUUAUGGCAUUCAACCAUGGACCAACCCAUGGACUUAAACAACACGUCGCUCCCUAACUAGCUUUGAUACCACUUGUUAGGAUCGGAUUUCAACAAUCUCAUGUGAAAACCAAUUGGUGUCCUGGGAGGUCAAGCUAUACCUUUUAUAGAAUUCGACCACCAUCAUUUGAGUGACACAACCCAUAGGCUUAAGAGCAGCAUCGUUACUCCCCAACAGUUUCACACUAUAUUCAUGGUGGCAUUGGCUUAGCAGUUAUACAUAAAAUCUUGUAACCAGUGUAGUUUUGCUCGUUUGAUGGAUUUGUUUUUGAUGGAAUUGGUCCAUUAGAAAUACGGAAAAUGGUAUUUCUACUAAGAGCAAUUGCUUUUUCUGACAUUCAAUUUCUUCUUGUAAAAAUGACAUGCCAAGGAGAACUAAGGAAGUAAUCAGGUUGAUGCAUAUUUUGAUGGCUGGAUUUAUUCUUUUGCUUUUAUGUAUCUUUCGUAGGGAUGAUUGCAUAAGACUCUAUAGUAUUAUGCUAAAAGAAAAAACGUUAAAAUCACGUUCAUUAUAUUGUCUAAUACCAUCUAGCGGUGUGUACCAAAUAUGCACUAGAGGGGCAAGCAAACUGCAUAUAGUGUCAUGUAUGAAGCAUAUCAAAAUCUUUUUCUUGAUGCGAAACUGAAGAACUCCAAGGAACUUGGUGUAUUCCAUUUUGAUAACCAGAGAACUUUUUGGUACAUUGAAAAAUCUAUGCCCUUUAUGUAAUGAAUUAGAAUGCAAGCUGAGGUGAAGUAAUUGUUUAAAUGAUCAAUAUUUAGAUAAGUCGGAUGCUUCAAAUUCUGGUGGCGAGAGGAGAAGUGGUUCACAUCGGGGCAUCUAUGGUAGUUCCUGUAAUUCAACGCACAUAGGAGACCCAGGGAGUACUAAAUUCACCAUUGAAGAAAUCUACAAGGCCACCAAAAACUUUUCACCUAGCUUCAAAAUUGGACAAGGUGGUUUUGGGACAGUCUACAAGGGUCGACUUGAGGAUGGAACUUUGGUUGCAGUUAAACGUGCUAAGAAGGUUGGAGGUCCACAAAAAUGAACUUGCAUCUGAAAUAAAUAACAUUGACUUUACUGUCACCAGUUAUUGCAGAUUUUGUUUUUUAAGGUUCUUCUCUGUGUGCAGAUUGUCUAUGAUAAACCUUUAGGUACAGAAUUUCAGAGUGAAGUUCGAACACUGGCACAAGUGGAACAUCUAAAUCUAGUUAAAUUUCAUGGCUAUUUGGAGCAGGAAGAUGAAAGGAUUAUUGUUGUUGAACAUGUUCCAAAUGGAACCCUUAGAGAACACUUGGACUGUGAGUUCUUUCUCACCAUAUUGUACAAUUAGCCAUCAUUGUCUAUGAUUUCAUUUUACAUCUUGAAUCCUUGAUCAUGUUAUACUUAGUUUCAUUUUGAGUAAUUUAGUGCUCGUUAAAGAUAAUGGAAGAUUCUGGGUGUACUUUUUGAGUUAUUUUCAACAUUUAUUGUGUCAUUCUCGUAAUUCCUAGACAGAAAAUGUUAUAGGAAUUCUCUCAUUCCUUUCAGUAUUUUUUUUCUCAAAUAUAUUCUAGCCUAUAUUAACAUGUGAUUUACUGAUCCAGGUGUGCACGGUAAUGUUCUUGAUUUUGCUGUGAGGUUAGAUAUAGCAAUAGACGUGGCACACGCAGUUACCUAUCUCCACAUGUACACAGGUAUGAAUUUUGUUAGCAGCCACAUUAAUUAGGUUCUCAGGAAAUUUAGCUUCAGUACUUGAGUUGCUCUGUAUGCAGCUCAUCCUAUCAUCCAUAGAGAUAUCAAGUCUUCUAACAUUCUCCUCACGGAGAAUCUAAGAGCUAAAGUUGCCGACUUUGGUUUUGCUCGGCUAGCAGCUGACAGUGAAUCUGGAGAGACACAUGUAUCGACCCAAGUUAAAGGAACUGCUGGCUAUUUAGACCCAGAAUACAUGAAAACCUACCAACUUACGGAAAAGAGUGAUGUUUAUUCAUUCGGUGUGUUACUAGUGGAACUAGUCACAGGCAGGCGUCCAAUUGAGCCAAAACGUGAUCUGAAGGAACGUAUUACCGCUAGAUGGGUAUGACCCUCUCUCUAAUGAGCAAAACUGCAGUGCAUGAUGUUAAAAUUGAGCAAAACCCAUUAAGUGGAGGAUCAAUCCUUAUUUUUAUUAAUUAGUCCACAAUUUUCAUAUAUGGAUGGUGGAAAGACUUAAACGUAAGGCCUUCUCUAAUAUUAUAUCGAACUACCUCAUCGAAGGUUUAAGCUAUUAGAGAUGGGACACACUUGUUUGUUUAGAUUUAGUCUUCAACAUCCACUUGGAUGAUUUCUUGAACAAGGAGAUUAUUUUUCUGUGCCUCCACUAAUUUUAGAGGGGGCACAAUAGAAUAUUGGUUUAUGUUUUCUCUGGUUGAUUUGAAUUGAUUCAAGUGCAGGCUAUGAAGAAGUUAUCUGAUGGAGAUGCAAUCUUAACUUUGGAUCCAAGGCUACAAAGGUCUCCUGCAAAUAACUUUAUAAUGGAAAAGAUUCUUGAAGUAGCCUUGCUAUGUUUGGCUCCUCAUCGACGUAACCGACCUCCCAUGAAGAAGUGUGCCGAGAUGCUUUGGAGUAUUCGCAAGGACUACAAAGAAUUCUCAACUUCAGAUAUCCCUUCGCUCUCUUCGAAUGCUCAGAGAAGUAGUUCAAUCAGAGAAGAAUAAGCAAGCCGGUGCAAGUAUUUUCAUUCACGUUACUUGCUUCCAUUGAAAAUACAGAAAGAGUACUGAAGAUGGUAAACUAGCAUACAAUGUCGUAGUGGGAAGCGAAGAAAAGAGAGAACUUGAAGGGUGUUUGGCCAAUUGCAAAGAUGAUGAAGUGAUAUUUAGUUCAUGAUGUUUGGCUUCUGCAUGUAGGAAAAUCUUUUGAUAGAUUAUAUUUUGCCUUAGGGAAUUGUAUUUGUUGAUUUCAACAGUAUUUUUUCUAUAAUAAUCCACCUGUGAAAUUUGAGCGGCUUCUUGAAUUUGGUUCGAUUUACAUUAUGAGGUUAUGAAGUUUGCUGAUCCUUGAUGAUUCACGAUAAGUCGAAGAAUUGUAUGUCCCUAUAGAGUGAUAGAGGGCAGGACAUACCGGGCCUCAAGGGAGCCAGGGUUGGCCUUUUGCCAUCCCUAGUGCUCAUAAACUGAUAAGUUGGAACCCUGCUGCCAAACAAAUAAAAUUAAAUAGAGACAACAUUGCAAUGUGGUUUGUAAGUAAAGAACAAAUGGGGCAAUUUUCUCGCAAGCACAACACACUUUAGAGCAUGUUUACCUAAGCUUAAAAGGCUUGCUUAUGAGUAAAUUAGUACGUAUAGCACGUGAUUUUAUAGUAAUGAAUUUCAAAUAAGUAUUCAAGUUAAGACAAAAAAGAUGAACGACUCUUGAACAAAAUCAUCGAUAAUUGAAUGUUAUUAUGAAAGUCUUUUUUUUAUUUUGAGCUCAUAGUUUAGCUGCGUAACAAUGAACUCACCAAAAAAACAAUAAAAAAGAAGAAAGAAGUUAAAGAAUAAAUUGUAAUCAUACUCCCAAACUUUUUAAAAAGUGCAAAUGAGUCCACAUAAAUUAUUAAAAUGUAAUUAGCACAAAACGUCCCUAUCUUUCAUUAUUAUGUGCAAAACGUCCCCACCUUUUAUUUUUUGACAUUUUCAACAUUAUUUUUAUAUUUUAUUGCAAAAAUCAUUAUUUUCAUCUAUUUUUUUCAAUUAAAAGAUGUAAAAUGACAAUAUACCCCCAUCUUUAAAUAAACAAAAAUAAAGAACAAAUUGCAACUAUAUUCCCAAAUUUUUUUAAAAAAAUUACAAAUAAAUAAUUUAAAAAACAAAAAUCACUUUCUUUUUUAAUUAUUUAUUCAAAAUUUAUUUGUACUUUUUUGAAAAUAUAGUUGCAAUUUGUUCUAUAUUUUUCUUUUUUAUUUUUGUUUGUUUAAAAAUGAGCGUUUAUUUGUUAUUUUACAGCUUUUAAUUUAGAAAAUAAAUGAAAAUAAUGAUUUUAGCAAUGAAAUAUGAAAUAAGGGUGAAAAUAUUAAAAAAUAAAAGGUAGGGACGUUUUGAGCAAUAAUAAUGAAAGGUAGGGAUGUUCUGUUAGUAAAAAGUUUGGGAGUAUGAUUACAAUUUAUUCUUUAACUUUUCUUUUCUUUUUUAUUGUUUUAUUUAAAUAAGGGGUAUUUUGUCAUUUUACACAAGAAAUUUGAUGUAAUGGAUGAUUUUCACAAUAAAAGGUAAAGAUAAGGGUAAAAGUGUUAAAAAAAAUGAAAGAUAUGUACGUUUUGUACAAUAAUAUUAAAAGAUAAGGACGUUUAGUGCUAAUUAUCCAUUGAAAACACUAAUAUAUAUAUCAUUUAUUGCCGUAAACCUUCAUAAUAGCUAAGUGUUGAGUGUUUUAAUGAAUCAUUGACUUAUGGGUACCAUAGAAACGUUUUAUAUUUUUAUAUUUAAAGAUAUAGUGAAAAAGAACAAAUAAUGUGCAUCACUAUUGUCAAGUCAUGUCACAUUUGUAAGAUAAUAACUUUUACCGCAGGAAAAGCCAAAUCGAUACACCUCCAAGAUUAACGACUUCUAUCCAUUUAUUUGUUUCAUGUUAAUUUUUAGUUAAUGAAACUUUAUUUGACUUCUUGCUUAAGAUAUGAAAAAUAACUUCUUAAAAUUUUUUAUUCUAUGAUAAAAUUAGCAUGGAUUAAGAAAGUCUUAAGCUUGGCUUAUAUUAUAUAAGACUGCAAAAAAACUAAGUUCUCAAUUAUAAUCUAACAACAGAUAUUUUACUUGGCAAUUGCUUGAGGCAGAAAAACUUUUAUAUUAAUUAUUGUUCUCGGUUCAGUUGCGUAUGGGACUUUUUAUUCAACCACAAUUAAAGAGAAAAUUGCAACCAGGGUCUCAACCUCUUUUUUGUUCACAAAUUUUAGGGAAAAUUGCAGUCAAGGUACCAAACAUUUCGUUUAUUAGCAGACUUUGCCCAAACCUUUCAUUUGUGCCACAUCGAGUACCAAACUUUUAAAAAAUGUGCAGUUCAAGUCCAAAAUGAUGAUUUUCGUUAGUUUAACUACCAAAACCGUCAGUUGACCUCAAAAAUUAAAAAUCUGUUAAUUUUGACCAAGUAAGACAAGGGUAAGAUUGUAACUUAAUAAAGGUUUAUAUAAUUGGCUAUAUAUUAAUAAUUUAACAAUAAAAUAUAUAAAUAAAAAGAGAAGAUUAAAAGCACCCAAACCUCCUUGCACCAAAGUUGUCGCCGUCAAAACCCAAGUGAUUGACCGCCGCCACCAUCCAGGCCGUCGAACGCCACCACCACAUAGGUGAUUGAUUGCCAUGACUAUCCAGGCCAUCGGAAGUCAUCACCAUCACCACUACCACCCAAUAAAGAAAGAUUGAAAGAGUGACGGAUUUCUUUACUUCAUAUCUGAAAAUUGAAAUUAAUUUUGAAAUUAGAUUUGAUUUUGAGGUUUUUCUAUUAUUGUGGUAUAAAUGGUUGUUCUAGUGAAUGAAAGUGGCGGUAGCGGAGGUAGCAGCUUGAUGGUGACGACGACAUGAAUGUUCGAUUGCUUAAGAGGGCUGAAGGUUCAAUUUCUCUCUGAAUGCUCGAGUGAGUUGCUGCUUUUGAGGUGGGGUGAUGCCUAGUUUUGAGGAGGUGUUGGGCUGGAGGUUGUGGCUGUGAUGUGGAUGGUAAUGGGUGUGGCCGACGAAGAAUAUGGAUUUAGGUGAGAUUGAAGCAUAAUUUGAAUUGAGGUGGUGGUGGUGAUCGACGGGGGGUAGGUAAGUGGUGGAUGGCGAAUGAUAGUUCAUGCUAUCCUCGUAUCCAUUGUCAGUGGAUGGUGGAUGGUGUCAGCAUUAGGUGGGGUGAGGUGGAACUAUUUAGUGGUGGUGUUUUUGGGUUGAUAGUGGUGGCUGUCGAUGGUGGCUGUGGCGAUUGGGUGGCGUGAUUUUGAUUUUGGGGAAGAAGAUGGGUUGUAGCUUUAUUUUUUGUUUUUUUAAUUUUUGAUUUAUUAGAAAAAAUGUGUUUUAUCCAAAAUGCAUCUACCUUAUUUAGGGAAAAUAAUAAUUUUAUUUAUUUAUUUUGGGAGUCAACUGACGGUUUUGGUAGUCAAACUAUGAAAAUCGUCAGCUAAGACUUGAGCUGCACAUUUUUUAAAGGUUUGGUACUCGCGGUGGCACAAAUAAAAAGUUUGAACAAAAUCUGCUAAUAAACGAAAGGUUUGGUACCUUGGCUGCAAUUUUCCCUAAAUUUUAUCUUAAUCUUUAAUUUGUGUCACCCACAAUUCCAAACUUUUCAUUUUGUUGCAGGACAAGAAAAAAUGGAUGGAUUCCAUCAAUUUGACCGUUAGUUGAUCAAUAAAAUAUAUUUUGACCAAACUAUAAAGGGCAGAAUGAUAACUUCAUAUUUUUUUCACAUAAACAAUUUAAAUAAUUGAAAAAAAAAGAAAAAAAUAAAAGCGUCAUAUUCUCCCUACUCGACCUACCCCCUUAACCAAAAAUGGGAAAACUAUCCCCUGCUACCAACUUUUCAUCGAAUGCCAACUACCCACCACCACCGAUCAUGCCAUUGUCGAUCGCGCCACUAAAAACUACCUUUUUCAAUUGCCAUUACUAUUACUGUUGGCAUACAUGUUUUCUAGCGAACAUCAUAUCAAACUACCACUAUCCUUCGAUGGUUGUCCCAACCCAAAAACCUUCAUCACCUCAUCAACAACUAGCUCUAUUAAGAUUUGACCUUGUGCUACAACAAAACGAAAAGUUUGAGAUUAUGGCAGACAUAAAUGAAAGGUUUGGAUAAAGUCUGUGAAAAAAUUGUUUAAGACCGUGGAUAUAAUUCUCCCAUAAUCAAGGUUCGGAAAAAUAAAAUAACCAUAUUGCAUCUUACCUUUCAUAUAAAAGAAUCCACAAUUCAUAGAUAGUGAAAUAUUUCUUGCAACACCAUGUCCACAAAAUAAGCAGCCAUUAAGAUAUUCACCUCAUACAUUUCAUGAGUCAUAUUGAAUCAAGAAACUUGACAUAAUAUUCACGAAAGGCAUUUUGGAUUAUGCGUUCAUAUAAUAUAUUUUUUGUAGUAAAAUAUCCUUUUAUAGUCAAUAAAUUUUGUUUUUAUGUAUUGCUAUUAUCAUUGAGCAUGCCAAAAAGUGCAUGUGAUCACUUAUGAUAAUAUAAGUUGGGCACAUUCGUUGAGAAGUUCAAUGUGAGACAACUAAUAUUUUGAUCAUAAAUAUAUUGUUAACAACUAAUAUAUGAGAGUUGACACCUUGUACCGAAAGUUUGUAGUGUUGAUCAUUUUGCCAUUCAUGUAUUCAAUUUGUCUUUAUUGUAGAAAUGGUUUAAUGGUGACUAUAACACAUUUGGAAUGUAAUGAAUGGACCGCGUGUUGAAUUUAAAUAUAUAGAAAGACUGUGUGGAGAAUUAAAUAUCUCUUGAUCACCGAAUAUUCCUUCUAAAUUCCUUGAUAGGAUUGUGGAUAUGAUUUUGUGAGUUUGUUGAUUCUUGAUUCAUCAGUGGGUGAGAAUAAUUUGAAUGAUCAAUUAUUUCAGUGAGUUAGGAGCUUGAGAAAAAGAAAGUAGAGAACACGAGUUUGCGUUAAAAUCGUCACCUCGAUAUUGUGUGGAGUGACCGUUUAAGUAUUUUUUGCUAAAUGAUUAUAAAUCUUAAUUCAGCAUUUAACGAUAGCCAAACUUCGAAAUAUGUGAUUGCUUUACAUGACUGUUGAAGAAUUGGAUCUUGAAUGAUAAUGAAAUAUAUACAAUAGGUAAGAGAAAAAUACUGCACAUAUAUAUAUUUUAGCUUCUAUAAUUUCAUAUAUUUCAAGAGUGCAACAUUUUUGUCUUUAGUAGAAAAGGCAAAGAAUAUUAAUUAGAUUGAAUAGUAUAGGGUUGAACUAGACAUGAUCUAUAUAUAUAAGAUUUGGGGACUUCUUACAAUCAAACUAAUUAUGGCCUUAUUAGAAUUGGACAUGAAGUGAACUUUGUUUCCUAUACGUAGACUAAGAGAUGCCGAUUUUUACAAAGAAAAAAAUGACUGACAUUUUUAUGCUUUAGAGAAUUACGAAAAAAAAUGAUUUCUUGUAGUUUCUUGGUUCGAUUUAACCAAAAAGGUUCCACGCAUUGACGUAUCUUUACUUGGAGAAUAUCACAAAGACUUAAUAGUUGAGAGCACCAAAUUCUUGAAUUAAAAGCUAAAAGCUUGUAAAUUAAAGAACUGAAAGUUUGCUAUUCAUAUUCAAUUAAGAAAUCAAAUUUCAAUUUGUAUAAAUUCUAAAUCUGUGUUUCUUGAUUAUAAAAUACACCUAAACAUCUAGCAAAGAUUUUGUGUGACUGAAUUUAAGAUUUUUUUUUUAAUUAUUCUGACCAACUGUCGUUCCAGUUUUCAAUCAGAUGGACCAUUAAUCAAAAAGUAUUUGAGUCGCCAAAUCAUAUUUACAGUUGCAAACGGAAAAAAAUAUUUUGUCAAAUUUAUAUAUUUGUUAUUUAUCUUUCUUAUUAGAACUACGGAUGACAAAUAAAUUUUUUUAUUCUUUUCUAUUAAUUUUUUUGGUUGUCAUCAAGAACAAGAUAUGUUAAUUGAAAUAAGAUUGAGAGUAAAUAGGAAGAUUUUUUUUUCUUUUUUAAGAUAUAAGUGCUAAAAUUAAGGAUACUCAUUGUAAUUAUAACGUGGUGUAAUUAACAAAAAUUGUGAUUUUAAUGCAUAUAUAUCCUCAAGAUUAUAAGUUGGAAAAUAACUUAAUGCUUGAAUAUUAACAAUGAUGAAAUUAGGGGCGAACAUGAAGGAUAGCCUGGGGUCACUUGAUCCACCAACUUCUGGUCAAAUUCUUUUUUUUUUUUUUAACCACCAAUAUAUUUUAUAUGUUUUUGUCUUAAUUUUCGAAGUUAUUAUGAAAUGUCAAACGAAAUUAAAAUAUUACAUUUUUAAUAUCAUUUUGAUAUGCUCACGGUCUAGUUUUCUAUGUCAUUAAAAGCACACAAUACAGCCAACAUAUAGCAAAUGUUACGACUUGUCAAAUUAGGCUAUUCUAAACUAGUAUUUCGAGAAUUUCAAUAACAUGUUAACUUUAAAAAUUCUCCGACGAUCGUACGCUAGCCCAAUUCAUAAAUCACCUACGUCAUCUCGAAGCUCAAGAACUACAUUAUAAACACAUUGAAUGUCCAAGCAGAUAUCGAAAACAUUUAAACGUGUAUCAAAUUUGUGUCAUAAAAAGAGGCAUUUAACUCGUACUUUCUAUUUUCAAUUAUUUCACGAACAUUUAUUAUUUUUGCAUUAUAAAUUUGUCAAUAUAAUUUAUUUCAUUUUGUUAGAAAAUUUUACAUGGAAUAUGAUAUCAAAUUUUUUUGAAAUUUUACAAUACACCAUGUAAAUUUUCGAAUGUAAAAUUUCUCGCAAGUUUGAUUGUACCUCCUUAAUUUAAAAUGACCGUGUCCACCACUAAAUGGAAUUAGAAAGAUUAAAUAAGGGCAUAGUUGACCCAAAUAAAAGAAUAUAUAAAAACAAAAUUAGAAAUCAAAAGUUUCUUACAUAUCCACAUGAUUUAUAAAUAAAAUUACAUUAAUAACGCUAUAUUGUGUGUUAAUAUAGCUGCAGUCUCUCUCUCUCUCUCUCUCUCUCUCUCUAACACCGUUUAGGAUAUUGAUUAUCCCAUAGGCUAGUUAUCACAGAUGAUUCAUCGAAGAAAUACGAAUGAAACACCUAAACAACAAAGAGAUUUUUCUAAAAAUCAACUCAAUAUUAUUCAAAAUGCAGAAUGACGAAAAAAGCCCACAAGUCGGGCUAUAUAGAUGAAGAAUAACGAUAUUAUCGAAGUUUUACCAAAAAUAGCAAAAUCCCAAUAAUCAUACGAACAUAAACUACAUAAUAAAAGAAAUAACUUGCCAAAAACUUGGCUCAAAUUGGGUUCAUAAUCAUCUCAAAAUGACAAAUGAGAUAUUAUCAAAAAUGGAAAAAAAUAAAUAAAAAUGAAAAUUCGGAAGGGAAAAUAGCGUAUUUUGGUCUCGAAAACGUUACCCACCAAUUGUAGCUUGGUGACCAUAAUGUGCGCGUCGAAAAGAGUUUUUCGAAUUGGGGUCAUAAUUGCGAUUCUGGUAAUCCGUAGCAAAGUUAUGGUCAAAUUACCAAAAUGUGUUCAAAACUACCCCAACUAGGAAAAGAUCACGAUUAUUUGCCAUCUUUGUGCCAAUCUGCCAACUCAUGGUAUCUUAACGCCAUUAAUAUGCUAUCUGACAAAUCAGCAUCACUUGACUCGGAACCUCUUGCAUCACUCUCUCUCUCUCACGUUGAGCACAAUACAAACAAAAACACACAUUAUAAGCAACAUAUAUAUUUUGUAUGAAUUCAUUUGGUUCUUUUGAAUCUUGCUCAAGCAAGAUGAUAAAAAAUUAUCAUGACCAGUUCCUUUAGGUCAAGGAUCUAUAAGAAUUCACCUAUCCCAAUAUUAAAAAAUAAAACUGAUUUGAAUGAUCAUGCUUUAAUAGCUAAAUUGCCUAAAGCUGUGGGUCAUAAUUAUUAUGGAGAACUCGUAUGUCUAGAUGAUUUUUUAAAUAUAUUUUUGUAGUUAUUCUAGGUAUUAUUGCAUGUAAUGUAAAUUUGGCGGUUCUAGAACCAUCCACGGCUGGUGAAUUGGCAAAUCCAUUUGCAACCCCUUUGAAGAAUAUUAUUGAAAUGUUAUUUCUUUUUCAUUUUUCAAACACUUCGUAUAGUGCCCAAUAUUGGGUGUUCUUUUAAUGGUUUCAAUACUCGUAGGAUUAUUAACAUUACAUUUUUUAGAGAAUGUUAACAGAUUUCAAAAUCCAUUUUGUCGUCCAAUGGCUACAAUCAUCUUUUUAAUUGGCAUUGCAAUUGCUCUUUGGUUAGGUAUUGGUGAAAAAUUACCUUGAUAAAUCCCUAACUUUAGGUCUUUUUUUUUUUUUUUUUUGAAUUUGAUUCAAUUGUGAAAUAACACAAUGUGUGUAUCUAGGUAAUAUUUGAUUGAAAGCAAAUUCUCCCUAAAUAUAUCUAUUCAAUUUUGAAUUUCUUACGAAAAUAUAAAUUGUGCUAAAGAUUCAAAACUUAUUUUCAUUAUUAAAUGAAUGACAAAAAAAAUCAAACAGAUUUAGAACUUUCAUUUUGCUAAAUCAAUUGUGAUAUUUUUUUCUAGAAUGACAAAAAUAUGUACUAUAUCUUCUGGGUACAAAUAUUCAAUUUUCAUGAGAUCUUCUCAAUUGUUUUUCAAAAGAUCCAAUAAUGUGUGUGUGUGUGUGCGUGUGUGUGUGUAGGACCUUUUGAGGCAAUUAUCGAUCAUGUGAUAGAAUUUUGAUUGGUCAAUAAAAAUCGAUUUUGAUGCUAUUAUUAUUAUUAUUAUUAUUAUUAUUAUUAUUAUUAUUAUUAUUAUUAUUAUUAUUAUUAUUUUGAAUUUAUCCAAUUUAUCAUCAUCAUCAUCAUCAUCAUCAUCAUCAUCAUCAUCAUCAUUAUUAUUAUUAUUAUUAUUAUUUUGAAUUUAUCCAAUUUAUCAUUAAAGAUAAGAGGGGAUAGAGAAUCGUAUGUUGAUUGUCUUUUAAAGGUAAGUUUUUUCGUCCUUAUGAAAAAGGGAAUAAAUAAAUCAAUCAAAUUUCGACACUCUUCAUGAAGUGCGUCUUUCAGAGUUAAACUCUCAUUUGUCCAUAUUUCGAGAAACGAUAUCUCUUAUUUUUCAUUUCAUUUUUCAUAAGCUUGAAUAUUAUGAUUCACAUUUCAAAAAAGCAUGAACACAUCAUCUAUAGGAUAACUUCCAUCUAAAAAGUUAUGUGGCACUUUGAUAAGAUAACCUUUUCAUUCCAAUUUCCAAAAGAUUGAACAUUAUAAUUUGAAUUUCGAACAAGCAUGAACACAUCAUCUAUAUGAUAACUUCCAUCUUGAAAGUUAUGUGGCACUUUAAUAAGAUAUCUGCGAUUUAUCUCAAUUUGUAAGUCAAUAUACAAAUCAAUAGGCUCUAGGAGUGGGCACGGUUCGGAAUUCGGUCCAAUUCUUAAGGGAAUUGAACCGAAUACCAAUGGAAUCUUAGAAAUGGAACCAUUGGGAUCAUAGAACUGAUUCACCAAUAGGUUCCAAUUCGGUUCGGUUCGGUUCUUUAUAUUGAAAAAUUAUAAAAAUAAAGUAUAAAAUUACUUAUCAAUCGAAAAAAGACAAAAAAUAAAUUGUGAAACCAUUUAUUGUUGUUGUUGUUGUUGUUUUUUUUUUUUUUUGAAUUUUACAAUACAAAAAAUAAAUUGUGAAACCAUUUAUUGUUGUUGUUGUUGUUGUUUUUUUUUUUUUUUGAAUUUUACAAUACAAAAAAUCAAUUGAAUAAGUCAACAAAAAGAAAAAUUCAAUCCAUAGCUCAAAGUCAACGUAUAAAGGCGAAAAAAAAAUUAUUAAGCUCAACAUAAAUGGUAAAAACUCGAUUGAAAUAUAGUUUUUAAGUAAAUUUGUAUAACAUUAGCUCGAUUAUCUUUAGUAAUCCUCAAGGAUCUUGAUUCUUGAUGGUCGAUUACUUUGGAAACAACAAAAAAUGUCGAUGCUUAAUAUAUUGAACUGAAAAUAUAUUUUUCCUAUUGGGUUGCAUUAAAACUAGGACGUUGUAAGAUAUUUUAAAAAUUAUUUAGACUUGAAUUUUGAUUACCCAUUAAAGGAAAGAAGAAGAAGCAUAUGAAAAAUGAAAUUUUAACGUGAGAUAAUUUUGGGGUUUAAUAUUCAAACUGUUAGUGCAUUUUGGUACAAGCAACAAGAGAACUGCGAGAGAAAUGAAUUCACUACUAGUUCUCAAUACAGUAUUGAGAACCGGACCAGAACCAAUCAACUUUUGAUUCAUUGUCCCAAAAUUGACCCAUUUAAUAGAGGAAUAGAAACCAAACUCAUUGGUUCUAUUUAGUUUAGUCCAAUUCCACUGAUUCUGGAGAAAUGCUCACCCCUUCUAUGAAGAGUUCAUAAUAUUGUGUCUAUUUUUGAGAUUGAAAACUUCUAUCAUGACUUCUGCUCAUUGUAUACAAAAUCAAUUUGAACAAGGAUAAAUUUGAUCCGAUUUUAGGUGUGGUGUGCCCCCCCUUGUUUUGCUUCUUUCUCUAGGGUAUUAACAAACAUCCAUUUGAUCGUUCGUACUUUGAAAAUUUAUUAGUGAUUGAAUAAUUCAAGGAUUAUAAUUCUAAAGAAUGCUAAAUUAAAAAUCAAUAAGAGAAAUUAACAACCCUAGAAAUUUCCUUUUUUUGUUUGUUAUUUCAGCAGAAAGUACUACUUUUCAUCAUAAAAAUUCAGCCCAAUGCUUGUUUUUGCUAAAAAUCAAAUUUUUAGAAUUUUUUUUUCCAAAAAAUUUAAUUGAAUGCGUGGCUGAAAAAGUGAUGGAAAUUGUGAAUUUCAUAAAAUAUGUGCCUAAAUUAAUUAUUGAAUUUGAUUUAAAUUUUCAUUAAUUGAAAUAAGCAAGUGAAAUGGUCUGUAUGACAAUGGAGUUUGAGAAAACAAACACUACCAAAAAAAAAAAAAAAGCAAUUUGAAGAUCGAAUGUUUCGUUGCCGAAAUUAUUAUAUCUAUUGCUAGCAGAAUUAAUUGACUAAAAAUGAUCGAUCAUAGAUUCAUUGCUAUUUUAAGGAUCGAUAAUAGUUACUAACAAAAAAUCUAUUGGUAGAUGAUAAGACAUAAAAUGUCGUGUUUUAUAUCCACUAAUACUUGCAUUUUUGUGAUUAAUUAAUGUCUAAAUGUACUCAGUACCCUUAUAUUUUGGUUUAGGAUGUAAAUGGAUGGAAAAUAUGGAUUUGGAAGGAACGAAAAAUGUGCGAAAAUGAAGGAAUUCCAAAGUUUGGGAACUAGAGUGUAAACAUCCAAUAGUUGAUUCGGAUCACAAAAUGAUGAUUGAAGAUCAUAUGACAUCAAUUGGAUGCAAUUGGAGGUCAAAGGAAUGAAAUAAUGUUGAAACAUUUUCACAAAUCAAAUUCCAGUCGAAGAAGUUAUGCGCCGAAUUUUUAGCCUCAAUUUGAGAGACAUUUCUCGAGUAGCAAACAAUCGAAUUGGAAAAUUUGUAUUUCAGAAAGAAUUGUAUCUCUUUACGUCAUCUUUUCAAUGCAUUUUGAAUCAUCUCAAUCAGAAUUCGGAAGAGAAAGUUAUGAUCAAAACAUUGAGAGCUGUCUAGGGACGACGCGUGCAACACGGUGCGCGCGCACGGGCAAAAAAUGGGGCGCGCCCAGCACCUCUUUUUCUCCAACCUUAGAGCAAAGUCAUCCAAUGGUGUGCGCGCAAUGAAAUAUAUGGCGCACAAUCACCGGCCAAAUUUCUAUGACUGGCCAGUUUCCUUAUUCUGAUAAAAUUCUACAUGGAAAUAAUAUUUUUGAUAUAUUAUAUAUACCUAAAGACACCAGAACGAAGGAAACCUCCUUUCUGACCUAAAAAUCUUAUAUUCUACGUAUUAUUGAAGAAUGCACCCAUUCCCUUCUACUCUUUUUUGCUCUUAGAAUUGAUGAUGUACAACUAAUUUCUCUCUUGGUCGAAGGAUAUUGAAGCCUUGAAUUUGUUUUCAAUUGUGAGAUCCACCUAUUUUUCAUUGUUUAAUUUAUAUUUUUAGUAUUGAAUAUUCUUCUAUGCUUGAUUUCACAAUUUUUAUGUUUGAUUAUUGAAAGGAUCCAUUAGUUUAUCAUGCGUUUCAAUCGAUAGCUAAGUCAAAAUAUCAAAUCCGUAAUUGUUCGAUUAAUUUAACUUGUGAAGCAACUAGGGUUAGUAAUUUGCUGCUUUGGAAAAUUAUUAAAUUUUAGGAAGAAUAUUUAUCUAGGUUAAAUGCAAACCCUUGGCUUGUGUUAUCUAGUUCAUUGAUUUCUCUAAUUCGGAAAGCCAGUAUUAAAUUAAUUUCUCGCGCUUGUCUACGAUUGUUUGGUAAUGAGGAUUAAUUAGAUUGCUUAUUUCUAAUUAAUUAAAAGUAAGGAGAAAUGGAAAAUUGUUUCGAAUGGGAAAUUACUUUCCAACGUUGAAUACACAAUUAUUAGUGGAUCAAUGACCAAUUGUAUAUCUCCAACAGUGUAUAAUGACUUAGACCAUGGUACGUUCUAUUGAUUUCAUUUAUUUCGAUAAUUUGCGUUUACGUUAAUUGCUAUUUUUAAUAAUUGUUAAUUUCAAAACCAAAACCCCCAUUUUUAGUUAAUUUAGCAUAAAAGAUAGACUAAACACUCUUCGUGGGAUCAACCCUUACUUCCACUACUACAUUUGUUUUGAGGAGUAUAAGUUUUAAUUUGGAGUGCUUGCGACAGCACGCACCAAAUUUUGGUGUCGUUGUCAGGGGGUGAUUUAGUUAUUUUUGUGCUUUUUAUUUAUUUCAUUAGUUUUUGUUUAAAAAAAACGAUUUUGUUUAUUUUGUUAUUUUGUUCAGUUUAGUUUUUUUUCUUUCUUUUUGCUUCCUUGCUUGUUUAUACUCAUAACUCGAUCUUCUAACCAAGGUGAUUUGCAGUAUGAUCCAGAAAUAGAAAGAGCUUUGCGUAGGUUGAGGAUUGGCAUGGCUAGGAAUCAAACCUUGAAAGAGCUUGCAGCUUCGGAUUUGCAUCAACAACCCUUAUGCAUAACUUUCCCUAAUUUAGAUGCUAAUACUACUUUUGUAUUAAAAUCCGGGCUAAUAUAUCUAUUGCCCACUUUUCAUGGUCUUGCAGUUUAAGAUUCCUAUAAACAUUUGAAGGAAUUCCACGUGGUUUGCACACUCAUGAAACCUAAGGGGUAAUUGAGGAGCAAAUUAAACUGAGAGCCUUUCCGUUCUCUUUGAAAAAUUCAGUUAAAGACUGGCUCUACUAUCUACCAUCUGGAAUUGUCACAACAUGGAAUGAAAUGAAGAGGCUAUUUCUUAAAUAAAAAAAAAAAUUCCAGCCUUAAGGGCAGCAAAUAUUAGAAAAGAAAUUUGUAGAAUGAGACAGGAUAAUAGGGAAUCUCUACACGAAUAUUGGGAGCGUUUCAAGAAAUUGUGUGCAAGUUGCCCCCAUCAUUAAAUCAGUGAACAUCUUCUCAUCCAAUAUUUCUAUGAAGGCCUUCUACCCACGGAACGAAGUAUGGUUGAUACUGCAAGUGAAUGAGCUUUGGUGGAUAAAACUCCCGAGGCCGCGAGGAAUAUGAUUGCAAACAUGGCCGCCAACUCUCAACAAUUUGGCACUAGACUUGACAUUCCUUCUAGACAUGUUAAUGAGGUAAAUGUUUCAUCUCUUGAACAACAACUUGUGAGUCUAACUUCUCUUGUUCGUCAAAUGGCUGCAGGUAAUAUGAAAAUGGCGAAGGCAUGUGGAAUUUGCUCGGUGGCAGGACAUCCAACUGACAUGUGCUCAACUCUCCAAGAAGAUAAACAAGUUAAUGCAGUAGGUAGCUUUCCUGGACAACCACAAAGGAAUUAUAAUCCUUACUUGAACAUCUACAAUCCAGGAUGGAGGGAUCAUCCUAAUUUUAGCUAUGGAAAUCAACAAGUGAAUCAACGAAACUUCUACCAAUAUAGGCAGCCAUAUCUUCCUAGACAACAACAGGACCAAACUUCAAGUUCUGGUAUGUCUCUAGAGGAUAUUGUUAAGUCUUUGGCCACUAACACUUUAUAAUUUUAACAGGAAACAAAAAAAUUCCAAGAGGAGGCAAGGGCAAGUAUUAAAAGUUUGGAGAAUCAAAUGGGUCAAAUGGCAACUGCAAUCAACAAGCUAGAAGCACAAGGUUCGGGAAAAUUACCCUCUCAAACAAUGGUCAAUCCAAGGAAAAAUGUAAGUGCAAUCUUGUUGAGGAGUGGUAAGGAAGUUGAAAUUCCAAGGGCAGCCCCUGCAUUAUUGGAGUAGGAAAAGGAGAAAGAUGUUCUUGAAGAAAAGAGUGUUCCCAACUAUGAUGGCGUACCUAAGCGUAAGUCUCCACCCCUUUCUGAGUAUAAACCAAUGCCCCCUUUCCCCCAGGCUUUAGUAGAACCUAGGAAAGAUGAACAUAAUCAUGAACUUUAUGAAACUUUCUGUAAAUGUGAGUUAAACAUUCCAUUGUUGGAUAAUAUUAAACAAGUACCUUGUUAUGCUAAGUUCUUGAAGGAAUUGUGUACCCUUAAAAGAAAAUAGAAACUUAAAAGGUGUGAAGAGAUUAACGUAGGGGAAAAUGUUUUUGCAAUCAUUCAAAGAAAUCUCCCUACAAAGUGCAAAGAUCCAGGCAUGUUUAGUAUCCCUUGCACAAUAGGUAACACUAGGUUUGAAAAGGCUAUGUUAGACUGACGAGCUUCUAUUAGUUUCAUGCCAUACUCUGUAUACGCUUCUUUAAAACUUGGACUUUUGAAUGAAACUGGUGCCAUAAUUCAACUACCUGAUAAAUCUAAUGCCUAUCCUAAGGGUGUAGUUGAGGAUGUUCUCGUGAAAAUUAAUGAUUUGGUUUUUCCUACUGACUUCUAUGUGCUUGAUAUGGGAUAUAGUGAUCAAACUAUCCCCAUUUUGCUACGAAGACUAUUCUUAAGGACGUCCAAAGCUAAAAUAGAUUUUUAUAGUGGCAUGCUUACUAUGGAAUUUGAUAAAAAAAUUCAAUGAAUUUAACAUUUAUGAUGCCAUGAAAUAUCCUGAUGAAACUAACCCUGUUUAUUCUAUUCAAGUGAUUGAUAAUUUAGAAUAGAAAGUUUUAGAACUUGAUGAAAAUAAUGCAGUGAAAGUUGCCAUUGAUAAGCAUAUUGAGGAUGUGAAUCAGGAGUUACACUCGAAUACUGUCUUGCAUGAACCAUUGCAGCAUUGAAUGCUUUUCCAAAGUCACCGAAGUCAGGUAAAAGUUCGCAUAUUGUUUUGCCAAUUGCUAACGAGAUGCCUUUCUAUACAGGUUUUCAAAUGGAUGAAGUGAGAACAUGGAACCUUGGGAACCCAAUUGAUGUCGGUUGAGGAAGGAAGCAAUAAAUCUAGCCAAAGAUAAUAAACAAAAGCGCUGCUUGGGAGGUAACCCAAGGGGAGUUCGUUUCGUUAUCUUUUUAUAUUCAUAUGUUUGGUUAAUGUUAUCAUUUUCUUUGUAAUUUGCCUUACAUUGGGGACAAUGUAAGUUUUAAGUAUGGGGGAGGGAAUUUAAGUUGAGUCUGAAAUUUUCAGUUCGUAUUUUUUUUUUUGCAUUUAUUUUUGACUUUUUGAUAAGAUUUCAACAUAAGAGGGAGAAAACAAAGUGGUUUUGAACAAUUUUGAUUAUGUAUGCUAUUUGCUAGAUUCAAUUAAGCUUCUGAAGAAUUCAUAACAUGAUUGAAUAAAUAAUCUCUCAACUUAGAGUUAAUUAGUGUGGUUAUUUUCUUUGAGGAUGAUAGUAACUAGAUUUCGUAGACAAAAAGUCAGUGAGAUUUUGAGCCUUUAGACUGACACAUCCAUACCAGUCUCACUAUUUUUCUUUCAUGAGUGAUACUCUUCCAUGAACUUAUUUCUCUAGAACUUGCCUUGAUUCUCUUCGAGGUCACAUUGAUACAUGCAUGCAUGAACAUGAUUAAGGCCAUCUUUGUUGAUUAAGUUAUCACAUUAGCCAAAUAGCCUACCCUGUAAUUAAUUUUUCCCUUGUUGAACCCCUUUUAGCCUUAUAGCAUUUUCUUUUUUGAACCCAUGUUACAACCUUUAAGUCUAGAAAAAGAAUAUCUUUACCCAAGUCGUAAAGCUAGUGGAGUGUUGUUCUUCAUUUUGAUACAUAUGGAAGUGCGAAAGAAAUAAGUGUGGGGGUGUAUGAAUCUAUGGUAGGACUACGAUUGGUGUAAUGGAACAUAUUAUUCAAUUUCAAUUCAUAAGUUCCAUUAUUAGUGCAAUAUUUUGAGUUGAGCAAAAAAAAGAUGGGAUAAAAAAAAAGUUCUUCAUUUUGAUACAUAUGAGAGUGCGAAAGAAAUAAGUGUGGGGGUGUAUGAAUCUACGGUAGGACUACGAUUGGUGUAAUGGAACAUAUUAUUCAAUUUCAAUUCAUAAUUUCCAUUAUUAGUGCAAUAUUUUGAGUUGAGAAAAAAAAGAGGGGAUGAGAAAAAAAAAAGUGAUGGAAGAAAUGAUCUUCAAUGUUCGAAAAUUAUUCUAUGUUCGUAAUUCCUCCUAGUAUCACAAGAAAAUGAGUGGGUUGUGUGAAAUAGAUGCAAGGAAGUUUUGAAUGGAGAGAUUGAUCUUAUAUGCUUUAUAUAUACAUUUGAGCUUAGUUAAUUCAUCUUUACUCCACUAGUUCAAUGACCUCCACUAGUUCAAUGACUUUUGAGUCACUUAACCAAAUACUUCCCAUCUGGACCCUAAGCCACGUUACAACCCAUAGAAAAGACCUUAUAAUUUGUGUAAUGCACGUGAUCUAAUUGGUGGAGAAUCAGAAGAUAUGCAAGCAUAUGGUAGAUCAUGUUUAUUAGAAUGAACUUGAGUGAAACACUUACCCAUUAAUUACAUGAGAGUUGAAUGCUUAUAUUCCGUGAGGGUUUACAAGUUUGGCUUACUCCAUCUUUAUAUGAGAAUACUUUCUAAUUGAUUAUAAAUUGUGUGAGAAGGUUUAUCAUGAUGUGUUAUGUGUUUUAAAGAGUUCGAUUGUUUUAUGUUGAUUGCAUUACAAUUUUGAUAUUUUUGGAAAAAAUAAAAUUUGAGCUUACUCGAGGACGAGUAAAAGCUAAGUGUGGGGGAAUUUGAUAAGACAUAAAAUGUCGUAUUUUACAUUCAUUAAUACUUGUAUUUUUGUAAUUAAUUAAUGCCUAAAUGUACUCAGUACCCUUAUAUUUUGGUUUAGGUUGUAAAUAGAUGGAAAAUAUGGAUUUGGAAGAAAGGAACAAAAAAAUACAAAAAUGAAGGAAUUCCUAAGUUUGGGAACUAGAGUGUAAACAUCCAAUAGUAGAUUCGGAUCACAAAAUGAUGAUUGAAGAUCAUAUGAUAUCAAUUGGAUGCAAUUGGAGGUAAAAGGAAUGAAAUAAUGUUGAAACAUUUUCACAAAUCAAAUUCCAGUCGAAGAAGUUAUGCCCCGAAUUUUUAGCCUCAAUUUGAGAGACAUUUUUCCAGUAGCAAAAAAUUGAACUGGAAAAUUCGUAUUUCAGAAAGAAUUGUAGCUCUUUAAGUCAUCUUUCUAACGCACUUUGAAUCACCUCAAUUGGAGUUCGGAAGAGAAAGUUAUAAUCAAAUUAUCGAGAGCUGUCUAGGGACGACGUGUGUAACAUGGUGCGUGCGCACGGGCAAAAAAUGGCGCACGCAGCACCUCUUUUUCUCCAGCUCAAGAGCAAAGUCAUCCAAUGGUGCACUUUCAAUGAAAUAUAUGGCACGCAAGCACCAGCCAAAAUUUCUGUGACUGGUUAGUUUCCUUAUUCUGAUGAAACACUACUAAAAAAUAUGGUUUCAGGCACAGAUUUUUCUUUUCUAAAACCUUGAUAUCCGUUGCUAUUACUCUUUACCAACGGAAUAUUUGCAGCCACAAGUCCAUUCAUAAUUUGAGAGUCGCUGAUAGUUACUAACGGAUUGUGUAGUAAAUAAAGAUUAAACAUUUUACCAACAGAAAUUCCGUUGGUAAUGUGUGGAUUUUUUAUCAACGAAAUUUCCGCUGGUAAAAACCUUAACCAAUACCAACCGACUUUCCAUUGGUAAAUGUCUACCAUUACAAUUGGUAAAAAUCAAUGUUGUAAAUAGUCGUAUAGGUGUGAGGCAUGGUAAAAAAAAAUUAUUUACUUAUUUUUUUAUAAUUGUUAUUAUUAUUUAUUUAAUAAUUAUAAUUUUUUUUAAAACUUUUAAACAAUUGAAUUGAAAAGCCAAAAUAUUGUUUAACUACUUAUUGGACCACAAAUUUAUAGAGGACAACUCCAAAGACUUUAUCGUAAACUUCUGAUGUGGGAUAAUUGAAUUACUUUUAUCAAUGGAUAAUCCGUUUUUAAUUACCAACGGAAUAUCCGUAGGUGAAAGAUUCAAAUGUUAAACGGUCAUAUUAGGCACAGAAUAUCCGUUGGUAAAGAGAUAUUAUCAUUAUCAAGGGAAAAUUCGUUGCUGAUUAUCGUAGUUGAAAGUAAAUCACUUUUACCAACAGAUAACCCAUUUCUAAUUACCAACGGAUUGUUUCCGUUGGUAAUAUUUGGCACGUCACCUACGGAAUAUCCCUAGGUGAAAGAUGUAAAUGUUAAACGGUUACAUUAGGCACGGAAUAUCCGUUGAUAAAAGGAUAUUAUUGUUAUCCACGAAAAAUUCGUUGCUGAUUAUCAUAGUUGAAAGUGGAUUACUUUUACCAACGGAUAAUCCGUUUCUAAUUACCAACGAAUGCAUUGGUAAUUUUCCUUAGGUGAAAAACUGUUUUUUAGUAGUGAGAUUCUAUUAGGGUUGGCAACGGUUCGGUUAUGGGUCGGUUCGGCCAAAACCAUAACCGCACCACCAAUUUUUUGACCAUACCAUAAACGCACCAUAACCACGUAAAUCGGUUCGGUUCGUAUCUCGGUUCGGCACGAUUCGGUUUGGUUAAUAACUACGAAAAUAAAUUAUUUUUUAUAGGUUCACCCAUCAAAUUGAUAUAAAAUAAUUUAUGAAAAAAGUCAAUGAAAACAAAAAUACAAUAUUCCAAACGAAAAUACUAACAUUAUCAAACAAUAUUCCAAGGGAAAAUGCAAACAUUAUCCCAAUUUUCAAUUGUAAAAUAUAAAUUUAACAAACAAUAUUAUAAAUAUAACAAUACUAAAUUUUUCCUUCAUUCUUAAUUGUUGUGCAUCGAAGUUAUUUGAUUCAUUCUUCCCCACAAGUCUUACUAGUAUAUAUCAACACUCAAAGUUGAUUUCUAUAUAGUAAAUAAAAAUAUAAGUAGAGAAUACAAUGAUACUACCUAUUCUAGAAUGGUCUUAACUAAGAUUUAAAUAAAAAAUGAUGUACCUCUUCGCCAGCUUUCUUCUUACUAAACGUUGCACAAGCUCUAAAGUAUGAUGAAGAAGUAAAAUUUUUUACACACAAUAAAAAAAAUUAACAAUAAAAGGAGCCGUGCAUGAGUUUGUGAAGAGUAGGGUUUGCAUCUAUAUACUGUCAUACUAAUACUAUUAUUACGGGGUAAUGGUAAGUGGGUUGGCUGGCUGAGUCAUGUAGAUGUAAUGGAGGGGACGGUGUAAAUACCAUACCCGCACCGCACCGCCACGAACUGAUUCAUUAAAAUAAAAACCAUAUCCGCCCUAUUGCACCAUCGGUUCGAUUUUUUUGGCCCCAUUCGGUUCGGUUAACCGCAGUUUUCGAUUUUGACGGUUAAAAUUGCCAUCUCUAAAUUCUAUAUGGAAACAAUAUUUUUGAUAUCAUAUAUAUACCUAAAGACACCAGAAUGACCUUCUUUCUGACCUAAAAAUCUUAUAUUCUACGUAUUCUUGAAGAACACCCCCAUUCCUUUCUACUCUUUUUUGCUCUUAGAAUUGAUGAUGUACAACUAAUUUCUCUCUUGGUCGAAGGAUAUUGAAGCCUUGGAAUUAUUUUCAAUUGUGAGAUCCACCUAAUAUUCAUUGUUUAAUUUAUAUUUUUAGUAUUGAAUAUUCCUUCUAUGCUUGAUUUCAUGAUUGUUAUGUUUGAUUACUGAAAGGAUCCAUUAGUUUAUCAUGCGUUUCAAUCGAUAGCUAAGUAAAAUAUCAAAUCCAUAAUUGUUUGAUUAAUUUAUCUUGUGAAGUAACUAGGAUUAGUAAUUUGCUGCUUUGGAAAAUUAUUAAAUCUUAGAAAGAAUAUUUAUCUAGGUUAAAUGCAAACGUUUGGCUUGUGUUAUCUAGUUCAUUGAUUUCUCUAAUUCGGAAAGCCAUUAUUAAAUUAAAUUCUCGCGCUUGUCUACGAUUGUUUGGUAAUGAGGAUUAAUUAGAUUGCUUGUUUCUAAUUAAUUAAAAGUAAGGAGAAAUAGGAAAUUGUUUCAAAUGGGAAAUUAUUUUCCAACGAUGAAUACUAAAAGUAUGAAUUAAUAAUUAUUUGUGGAUCAAUGACCAAUUUUAAAAUCUCCAACGGUGGAUAUUGACUUAGACCAUGGUUCAUUUUAUUGAUUUCAUUUAAUUCGAUAAUUUGCGUUUACGUUUAUUGCUAUUUUUAACAAAUUUUUUUUUUCAAAACCAAAAACUCCCUUUUUAGUUAAUUUAGCAUAAAAGAUAGACUAUACACUCUUCGUGGGAUCGACCCUUACUUCCAUUACUACAUUUGUUUUGAGGAGUAUACAUUUUAAUUUGGAGUGCCUGCGGCAGCACGCACCAGUAGAAUUAUUGUCAUUUACAACAUAAAAUCCGUUUGUGAAAAUAUUUGUCAUUAUCAAUGGAUAUUCCUUUGACGAUACUAUUUGCUAUAACUAUUAUAAAAGAGNNNNNNNNNNNNNNNNNNNNNNNNNNNNNNNNNNNNNNNNNNNNNNNNNNNNNNNNNNNNNNNNNNNNNNNNNNNNNNNNNNNNNNNNNNNNNNNNNNNNNNNNNNNNNNNNNNNNNNNNNNNNNNNNNNNNNNNNNNNNNNNNNNNNNNNNNNNNNNNNNNNNNNNNNNNNNNNNNNNNNNNNNNNNNNNNNNNNNNNNNNNNNNNNNNNNNNNNNNNNNNNNNNNNNNNNNNNNNNNNNNNNNNNNNNNNNNNNNNNNNNNNNNNNNNNNNNNNNNNNNNNNNNNNNNNNNNNNNNNNNNNNNNNNNNNNNNNNNNNNNNNNNNNNNNNNNNNNNNNNNNNNNNNNNNNNNNNNNNNNNNNNNNNNNNNNNNNNNNNNNNNNNNNNNNNNNNNNNNNNNNNNNNNNNNNNNNNNNNNNNNNNNNNNNNNNNNNNNNNNNNNNNNNNNNNNNNNNNNNNNNNNNNNNNNNNNNNNNNNNNNNNNNNNNNNNNNNNNNNNNNNNNNNNNNNNNNNNNNNNNNNNNNNNNNNNNNNNNNNNNNNNNNNNNNNNNNNNNNNNNNNNNNNNNNNNNNNNNNNNNNNNNNNNNNNNNNNNNNNNNNNNNNNNNNNNNNNNNNNNNNNNNNNNNNNNNNNNNNNNNNNNNNNNNNNNNNNNNNNNNNNNNNNNNNNNNNNNNNNNNNNNNNNNNNNNNNNNNNNNNNNNNNNNNNNNNNNNNNNNNNNNNNNNNNNNNNNNNNNNNNNNNNNNNNNNNNNNNNNNNNNNNNNNNNNNNNNNNNNNNNNNNNNNNNNNNNNUGAAUAUUCUUUGUCUUCUUUUUUAUUUUUAUUUUUUUUAAUUAGAGUAUGUUAUGUAAAAUAGUUGUGGUGUAUUUAUAUUUCAAAUUGGUGUGAGCUUAAAAAAUGGUGGGGGUGCAUAGCUAUAUAUAAAUGUGGUUCCAUGCAUUUGCUCACAUGCAUCCUUUAGGCCCCCUUCUUGUCUGCAUUCGAAAACUUUAGAUAUGACAAAACCCAAUUAUAUUCCUAAGAUUUUCAUUUCCCAAAUCAUUAAUGAUCACACGUUUAGAUGAUAGUUGUUGAAUAAAAUGAAUUGAGUGGCUCACUUUGACACAAAAUUUGAUAUGACUGGUUUGUUAUAUCCAACAAUAGUUACUAAUGAAAAAUCCAUUGGUAAAACUAUUGUCAUUUUCAAUGUAAAAUUCGUUUGUCAAAGAUAUUUGUCAUUAUUAACGAAUAUUUCAUUGGCAAUAAUAUUUUCUAUUGACAUUAUAAUAAUAUUUGUCAUUAUCAAGAGAUAUUCCAUUGGCAAUAAUAUAAAGAGAGAGAGAGUAGUAUGUAUAUUCUUGUUCUUCUUUUUAUUUUUUUAAAAUAAAGUAGGCCUUGAUUUGUAAAAUAGUUGUGGUUUAUUUAUAUUUUAAUUGGCGUGAGCUUAAAAAAUGGUGAGUUGUAGCUAGAUCAAUUGUGCUAUAUAAACAGAUUCAAUGACAGGGAUUUAUACAUAAAUAUGCUUGGUAUUUUCUCAUUAGCAGUCAAAAAAAUUGAAGAAAAAACUGUCUGUCACUUCCUUCUUUGAAAAAAUAUAGUGGAAAUAUAGUCACCCUUUAUUUUAUUUUUUUAUACUUUUGAAACAAAUACACAAUUUCCAUGCAUUUGCUCACGCAUCCUUAGGCCCCUUUCUUGUCCGCAUUCAAAGACUUUAGAUAUGUUAAAAACCCAACUAUAUUCCUAAGAUUUUCAUUUCCCAAAUAACACAUCCAAAAGCUUUAAACGUUAGUCUUUCGGAAUUAGGAUGUUGGAAGUCUACGACAACUGGGAAAGGUUGAUUAGAGUCACGCUAUGGAAAGAGGAAUUUCGUGAACUUGCUCGUGCCCACUCGAGAAGUCCUAGCACCACCUCUUCUUCGUCGCAUUUCACUUUGAGUUCUCCUCUCCAUGAUUGAGGUGAAUUUAUUGUACUUUUUAGUUAUAAUAAAUCAAUUUAGGAUUGCAUAUUUUCGUUUGAGAUGAUUUUAGAGGUUAAAAUGGUCUAUCCAUCAUAAGAGGCGGUCAUGUUAGAUUCUAUUUUUUCACCUUGAAAACGAUGAAGAUUG
This 70655-nucleotide long non-coding RNA is filed under the name Olea europaea (common olive). RNAcentral describes it as "long non-coding RNA (OEUR_LNC010380)". Lineage: Eukaryota; Viridiplantae; Streptophyta; Magnoliopsida; Lamiales; Oleaceae. The record is from RNAcentral.